UACAAUUGCUUUUUAUCUUGCUUUCCUCCUUGAGUCGGCAUUGGCCAGUUCUUGUGAAUUUUGUCUUGUAAUUUCAUUUCUGGAUUUGCUUAGUGCGAAAGCCACUGGGUUCUAAGAAAACAAGGUGUUCGGUCAAUUGUCUAAAAGAAGUUUAUAACGCUGCCCAUUAGUAUUACCACCUGCCCACGUUCACAAUGAGUGGGAACAACAUAAACUCGGUGUUCUACGCCGAGUUGUAUCAUCCGAUUCAAGCUGGCAGCAUUGACGGCACCGAUAUUCACCCCCACGAUAACGCCAUUUGUCGUGCUCUGCUCUGUUCCUCAGCUGGACUCUGUAUGUGCUUCUAUUUUCUUUAUUCCUUUCCACCCCCUACCCCCAACCCCCCCGCGGCAAAACAACUUUUUUAAGUAUUCCCAGUUCUUACCCAUUUUAUAUCUUAAUCAUCUUGCAGAUGACCCCGUCGGUGACCCCAAGGCCAUUGGUGACCCUUAUUGCACUGUCUUUGUGGGUCGGCUCUCUCAUUUUACUUCCGAGGACACUCUUCGCAAGGUUAGCGGUUUUUUUUUUUUUUUUAAAUUUCCGUUAAUUUUCUUCAUAUUCUGCAGUGUUGCAAAAUUGUAUCCAUUUUGGAUUGAAUUAAUGAGUUGAAAAAAUUAUUGGCUUGUGGGUGUUUUAGGCUAUGAGCAAGUAUGGUAGGGUCAAGAACUUACGGUUAGUGAGGGACAUUGGUAAAGUUGCCGUUCUGUAAAUUGUGUUAUGUUGUCACUAGUUAUGUUUGGAAUGUAACACCUAACUUGUUCUGGUGCUUAUUGAUUUGUAUGAUGUGCAGUUACGGGUGCAUCGCGUGGUUAUGCUUUUGUUGAAUAUGAAACUGAAAGAGAGAUGCGCCGUGCAUAUGAGGUAUGAGGCUGAUAAUUUGAUUCUUUCUUGCUUUGGCACUUUGUGACUGUUAUGCAAUUUGUGUUUUGCUCUGAAAUGUGAUUCAUUUCAGAUUCUGUAAUGCACCAUAAAUAUCCACACUUUGAUUAUUUGACCGCACUUGUGACUGUUGAGUCUAUAUUGGAUAUUUGCUUGAUAAAAGAGGAAUUAAUAUAAUAUGUUAUGUCUGUAUUAAAACUGGAGUUAUGUCUAUAUUAAAAUGGGAGUUUUUACCUUCUAGUUGAGGUUUAUGCACGUCCACAAUUUCAAAAUUAAACGAACUCAAACACAUUGAUCAUCCUGGCUGCAUGCAUGCAUUCAGUGUCCUCAUUGAUAGAAAGUAAAGUGAUGUUUUUUUUUUUUUUCCCAUGUCUGCCAUGCAGGAUGCUCACCACUCCAUUAUUGAUGAUCAUCAAAUUUUAGUUGAUUAUAACAGGCAACAGUUGAUGCCUGGGUGGAUUCCAAGGAGGUUAGGUUAGUUGUUCAUUUUAUUUACUCUGGUCAGCAUCAGCACCAAUAAAUUUGAUUCAUAUAAUUUUUGUCUCCUUUUUCCGUCAAGCAGGAGGAGGCCUUGGAGGUAAGAAAGAGUCGGGGCAGCUUCGCUUUGGAGGAAGAGAAAGACCAUUUAGAGCUCCUUUGUAUGUUCCUAAUUUUGGGGUUUUAUGUUUUGUCAUAAAUUUUUUCAUUAAGUGAUUGAAUGGAAUUGUUAGCCUUUAAGCAAUUUUAGUUCUAAUUUCCUCGAAUGAAAAAUGUUUGCUAUUAAAUCUUCUUUCUGUUCAUUUAUUUACUUCUUUAGGUGUUAUAGGCAAUAGCUUCAAUGUUAGUUUUAUUGUUCUUUUUUGUUUGCUUUUGGUGUUUAGUGGGUGUGUGAGUGGGUGGGGAAGAAGAAAGCUUAAGUGGAGCUACUGGCUGGAACAGGAAAAUAAUUGGAAUCAUCUAACUUUUGAUGGACUGAUGGAAUGAUACCUUGUGUGGACAGACCGUACUCAUUUUUUGUAAUAUUUCAAUAAGUUACAAAUCUAUUUUGUCAAGGAACUAUUUCAUUCCUCUCUUUCCGGAAAGCCAUCCAGGUGCAUUAUUUAGACACUUAAAGCAGCUGAUCUCAUAUUCUCACUUUUACGUAGAAAGCUUUGUCUUUUCUUCCAUCAUAUUUGACACACAAUUACCCUUCGACAGCAAUUAUCUGGGAAAUUCAUUUUCUUUGUGUUUGGCUUGGAUGGAGUAUAGUGUACGAAUUUGAUUUAGGUAUGUAUACUAGGCAAGAAAUGGAGGGAGAUGUAAUCUUUUUGUGCAUUGCUAUAUCUGAACUUAUCCUACCGUGUAAAACUGUUACACAAAUGUUUGAAACAAGGUAACUUUCCCAUCAAUUACUUAGGAGCUGCCUUGAGAACUGAAAGAUAUUGUUUCUUUGUGGCUCCACCCAAGAAUCCCUUUGAAUCAUAUUGUAUUGACUGAAAGGCACACUCUCUAUCAUAUUGUAUUGACUGAAAGGCACACUCUUUAUUUGUCAGGCUAGCACAACUGACAACUGCUACUCGUACAAGGCAAUAGGUGUUUAGCCACGAAUAGUAUUGUUUUUGGAAAAAAAAUGAAUUAAAAAGUUCAUUUCACUUUGUAACUAUAUGGUGGAAAUUUUCAGUACAUUAUUUUUAUGUACAUAUUUCUGACUUUGUUCAUUCUCUUGCAUCACCAGGCGUCCAAUUCCAUUUGAUGAGCUAAAGAGGCUCGGCAUUCCUCCUCCACCAGAAGGAAGAUAUAUGUCACGUUUUCAGGUAUUGUUUCUUUCAUCUUUUUUUUUUUUUCUCUUUUUUAGGAUUAUGAUAACCUAGAUUCCCGCACCGACCCGGACCAUGAGUCCUGCCCGGCCAAGCCCUAAACUAGGUGUCAGUCAGGUGCCCCAACUCCAUGAACUAUGAGACGGUGGAAUUUUUAAGUUCACUAGAAGGAUUGAACCUGAGACAUCAGUACAACCAAGCACUAUGUCUCAAGCCCACAACCAACUGGGCUGCCCCCUUGGAGUGUAUUGUUUCUUUCAUAUUACAGACCUUUUAGGGCACAAAAUACUGUUUCCAGGAAUUCUUUUUUCAUUUUGGUUCUUUAAUUUUCAUUGUAGGUCCCAUCACCCCCUAGAAGCAGAAGGUGCUCUAUAGAGAAGGAAGAAAACACUUGCAGUAGGAGCUUGAAGCACAGUGAAGAACGUACUCACAAAAGUAGCACCACGGAGAAGGAAGAGAAACACUAUAGAAGCUCUUUGGAGAAGGAAGAAUCACAUCGUAAAAGCUCUAUGGAGAAGGGGGUCGCAAAAGAAGCUUUGUGGACAGAGAAGAAAGCCAUUACAAAAGAAGCACUACAGAAGGGGAAGAGCGGUCACGGUCUCAUAAGAGGAGCUCUACAGACAAGGAAGAGAGCUCUCACCAAAGGAGGAGCUCCAAGGACAAGGAAAAGCACUCCCACCACUGCCAUAGUAAACGGUCUCGCAGACGUGAGAGAAGUUCAUAUGGUGAGGAUCACUAUACUGAUUACUGAGAUGCUGAAUGCUGGCCACUAUAGGGAAACGUUUGGUUUCAGUUAACUGCAGGUUUGAGUUGUGUAUGUAUAAACUGAUGAGUCCAUGCACUCACUCGGGUGAAAAAUAUGGAUAACUUGCUUAAAAUUGUAAAAUACCGAUUUCUGAAAAUCUGAAGCUAAUACUAUAUCGCUGUUGUUCAAGUGACAUAAUGGCUUCAGCACCUAAACGGAUUGUGGAUCAAUGUGAUUUCAGAUAUCCCAUAAAAGCUAUCUAUUUUGCCAAACACUGCUACCGCACUAAAUUCCAAAAUCCAGCGCCCCUAAAAACAGCAUAAUUAUGAAAUCUUUUAGCUAAUUCAUGGCCAAUUUAAACAUAGAGGUAAUUCAAAAAGGAAGAAUGAAAAAAAAAUCAAAUUCAAAGACCCAAGAUUAAAUGAGGGAAUUAUUCAAAUCUUCACUUGUUAGGAAGUUUGUUCUACUAUAGGUUGAGAUCAAGCUCUCUGCAAAUCCUUCCACUGUAUAAUCUGUUAAAUCAUCUUGAAAGCCAUCAAUUACAUAAUCUUUAUAUGUUCCAUCUUUUGGAUCAAAAAGUACAAAUUUCUCGUCUAAAACUGACAAAAUAAAAUGACUGGCCUUGAGGGAACACAAUGGCUGCAAUACAGGAACUGAAUUGGCUGAUGAAAUUUUCACACGUUCUGUCAAUGGGAUUAAACAAAGACAGUCUCCUAUGACUCAAAUUGAAUUGGAUGAAGAUAAAGAAUGAUCAUCAAAAUCAUUUUCAUUGGGCAAGGCUAAGAAUUUGAACUUGUCUUCUUACAAAUCGAACGCUGCAAUCAUCAUCAUGGAGCGAUGAUCAAAAGAGUGUCGGUGAGCGUGCAAAAACCAAAGUGGAUAUUUCCCUUGAGUGUGAUUGCCCAAGAAUUUUGUUAAAAAUAUUGAAAUUUGGUUUCAAAAAUUUUCCAAGUAUAGUCCUUUAAGAAAAGUCAUGCAUACCUACUAUAUUCUCUCUGUAAGAUUGAGAAAUUCCCAAAAGCUUGAAGUCAUCAAUUGACUGAGCAUAACCAGAGCCAUGUACUGUUGUAUUUAUUUUGUUGAAAAGGUUCAUAGUCUUUUGGUAUUAUUCUCUUGACCUCUGUGGUGCAACAAUUGUAUAUAUAUAUAAAGACAAAUUCUGCUUGAGUUUCAGCUUCAAUGGAUAAGCACAACAAACCAUUACAAGAACAGUGGGUCCAAACAGAAUCACAAGAGCCUUUUCCGAUUGGGAAAUUAAUAAGCCGAUCGGCCAUAAUAAUUUUGCUGUCCAGGUCUAUGCAGAGAAGAGAGUUUCUUACUAAACCGUUGUGAAUACCAGCAAGAACCAGCGUUUUUCUUUGUUGGUUUUGAGCUCGGUGCAACUUUGAGAAACCAAGUAUUGGUUAUCAAAGCCAUGAAUGACUCCGAUAAACAUUUGAAUCUGCAUAAAGACUUGGCAGUUUUGCAAAUAUGUCAACAAUGAUAUCCAGAGGAAGAGUCGCCUUUGCUUCUUCUGCAAGUUAAGCAAAUACUCUAGGUAUUAAUUUGUAUUCACAUAUUCGUAGCUUGCCAAGUUCAGACUUAAUGCUGGCUCAGUUCUCUACCCAGACCACACCCAUGUGAAUCUUCAAUUAAUGAACAUUGUAUUUUAAGAAUAAAUUUUUAUUAAAAUAAGAUGUCCAAAGUAUAUCUUAUGGUACAAAUUAAUGGCCUCGCCCAUCUUUAAAUAGCUUGAAGCUUCAAAGUCAAAGUAGAAGAAAGAAAACACAUUAUUUAUUUAUUAAUUACUAUCCUCGUGCUCAUUUGUAAAAGACAUUGAUAGUAUAAAACUAACUAAUAUUAUUCUUUCUUCAAAAUUAUGAGAUUGUUACGAGUAGCCACGCAAACAUGAGAUACUACACGUAGCCACCGAAAAGUUUGGAUCUGAAUAUUGCCCCGAGAAAAAACAUGCAGUUUGGAUCUGAAUGGCACCGACUUAUGAGGAAAAGUCAUUUCUGAAACUCAUGUCCUUGCCUUAUUCGCUUUAGAGGUGAUACAAAGCUGACCUUCACGAUUACUGCUUCAGUGAUUCAGUGACCAAAUCACAAUUUCCAUUGUGGUUUAAGACUCGAAAUGAACAGAAGAAAUACAAAUCUGAAUCACAAAGCUUUCGGUAAGUGUAAAACACAAACACACAUGAUUGAGAUAAACGCAUAAGAAAAUAAUGAGAUAGAAAUUAAUUAGUGUCGGACUUACAGAAGAAAAUAGGAUAUGAGGAAAGAAGGAAUGUUGAUUUGGUCUCUGCAAAUUCUCAUACUACUUGAUUCCAGUUGCUUUUCAUCGUAUCGGCCAACGCUUCCAAAAGUUCCACCCGUGCAGGCCUGAUCAAAUUUCGUAAAUCUGGUGCAGUCCACUUCACUAGUGGCAGCAAAUUUGAGAGUUUUGGGUUUGGUCCGGACGGGAUUUGCAUAUACUGGAGUCACCCCACAACACUUCAACUUGUAACGUUUGCUUUUAUGGUCAACCUCCAGACGAGAGCCAUCAUGGUCAAGAUAGUAAAGGGCGAACUCCAAUUUGACAGCAGUAUGGUGGUCGCCAUCAGGAAGCCCAAUACUCCAACAGGGAUCGAAUCCAAGCAUUAGAUGAUCUGAGUCAACAGUAUCAUACAUAACCAACCAGCAAUCGUGAUUAACAAGUUUUUUUUCCAAACGGUAUCUACACACGACUUGGAAAUAUUGGGAGCUACUGGCUUCAGGAUCUUUCUCAAAGACAAUAACAGCACAAAGAGCAAAUCCUACGAAGUCUUUAUUACAACGCUGUGGCAGUUGAAUAGUUAUCGAAGAUCCUGAACGUUGGUUGAUGAACCACUCUGGAAUUUUAUUUCCAGGUACAAUGAUGCUGCUUUCAAGUGGUGUAAAAAAUUCCUGUAAAUGUCAAAAUCAUGACUCCUAAUGUAAUAGAGAAGACAAAGAGCAAAGCCUGAGCAAGAGAAAAACAAAUGCGUACCAUGUCAUAGUAUGGUCUCUGAGAUACAGCUGUUUGCCAAACCCUUAGUUGUAAAUCUCUCAAAAUUUUGUUGCGUGCUCUAUUAUUAAGUUUCAGGCAAUUGCUAAACAGAUGUACUCUGAGCAGACAUGAUGGAAGCUCUGGCAAAGAUCGAAGCCGCUUGCAAUUCCUUGCAUCUAAUCUUUCUAGACGCAGUGGAAGCUCUGGUAUUGAUUGAAGCAUAUUGCAAUUUCUCAAGUAAAGACACUUCAGCUGUGAAAGUUGCUUGACACUUGCAGGUAAGCUCUCAAAUUUGUUUCCACUUAGAUCUAACACUUCCAUGGAUGAUAGAGAGCCAACUUCUUUAGGGAUUUCCGUUAUACCACAGUCUCUUAAAUCUAGAGAUCUUACAGAAGAUAGAACUGGUAAUAAUAGAGGUAAUACCAAAUUUUUGCAUCCUGAAAAUGCAACUGAUUUAAAUUCAUUUAAAUCUGCUGCGGAGGAUGGUAGUUGACUAAUGGCUGAUCCGAUUGCAUUGAGGUCCUUCAAAGAUUUUAAAUUACCAAAAGACUCUGGCAAACUAUCAAGCUUAGAGCAAUUCCACACCACUAAAGCCGUAAGCCUUCCAAGGCGUUCAAUUGAAGAUGGCAGCUCUUUAAUCGGUGUCCAGCUUAAAUUUAUAUAUUCUAAGCAUUCCAUUUCCUCCAAGAUCUCUGGGAAACUCUCAAGCUCUGGGCAGUGCUGAAGCUCAAGCCUACAAAGAGAUUUCAAUUUACAAAUGCUAGUUGAAAGUCUCUUCAGCCUUGUGCAAUGACUCACAUCUAACCCUUCAAGACUAGUUAGUCUCUCGAUUGACAAGGGAACUUCCCCUAUAGCUGUCUUACGUAAAUUUAGCUCUUUUAUAUUUCCCAAAAUCUGCGGAAACUCUGUGAGAUUAACACAAAAGGAGAAAUCAAUCUUUAUAGGAGAUGCAAAAUGAAUGUUGCUUGGGAAGCAUCUAAGACUUUCACAGCCACUUAGACACAAGGUACCAAGGUUGGAGAAAUUUUGGAUGUAUUGAGGAAUGUAAGCGAAGUUUGUACAAUUCCAAAGAUUUAUUUUCUCAAGAUUUGGGAUUUCUGAUGGUUCUGGGAUCCUAAUGAGCUUAUUAGAGUGAUGGAGGUCAAUAUAAUUCAGCUUAGAAGCUUCCUGUAGAAAAAAGAAUAAAAACAAUUAGUAGAAUGACUUAGAUUACUGAAUAAACAUAUUGAUAUUAGUAAUAGUAUACUACUGUUUACCUUUUUUCCGUCCCAGAUUUGCUUGACUUUACUAUAAGGCAAGUUGAGUGUAACAAGGUUCUCAGGUUCGAAAUCUGAUGGCAAUGAUUUUAAAGGAUAUUCAUACCAAUGGAGAUAUCUCAAUUCUUCAGGAAGAUAUUCGAGACCUUGGUCGAGAUACACUUUAGAGCUCAUAAUUGGAAUACCAUCAUGCUCGGGCAUAUAAAGUUUAAGCAAUCUGAGAUUUGACAUAUUUGCAAAUGCUCUAGGACCUAGAUGUAAGACUUUUAUUUUGGACAAAUCAAGGAAUAUGCCUUCAAUUGCAUCAGUUCCCUUAUCAACAAAAGCAAAAACUGAAUUAGCAUAACGUCCACAAAAAAAUAUUUAUUAAAAUCUAUAGAGAAGCUCCUUAAGCAAAGAGAAAAAUUAUUGGUGCAUAUUGUUGGUUUGACAUAUAACCGUGGCCACAAAAGCUAAGUAAAUUCUCACCUUAGUUUUUUUCAAUACAUUAUAAACAUCCUCAUAAUACCACAACCGACUACGCUUCCCUGGCUGCUCAAUGGAUUCUUGACGAACAAUUUCUCGUCCCAUUUCCUGCAAUAAAUCGUGCAUUUGCAGCUGAUUGCCACGUGAUACUGUCACAAGCGACUUAUCAACGAGGACAUUCAAUCCAUAAUGCGCAAAACUUGAAUCGCCUAUCAUCUUUAGCACAGAAUCUUUAUCCUGCCCAUUGAAAAAACAUGCAAUGUCUAGAAACAAACUCUUUUCUUCCGCCUUUAUUUCAUUAUAACUGAUUUUCAGCACAUCGUAGAUAUCAGGGUCGGAAAUCCGUUUUAAGUUAUCCAGGGCAUUUUCCCAAUCUAGCUUGCUCUUCUGACGAAGGAAAGAACCCAACACUCUCACUGCUAACGGAUUGCCAUUGGCAUAAUCUAGUAUACGCUUUGAGUGCACCAAGAGAUCUUCAGGGCAAUGGUUUUCUUUAAAGGCACAAUUACAGAAGAGCUCGAGAGCUUCACGAUAUUUCAAUCCAUUAACCUUAUAUAUAUUACCAACUCCAAAAUUAUCAAGAACUCGUCUAUCUCUAGUGGUUACUAUGAUUCGACUACCCGGACCAAAUCGUUCAAGCCCCCCAAUUAAAUAUUCCAACUGACCAACUUUAUUAACAUCAUCAAGAACUAAAAGCACCUUUGUCCGUUGGAGCCUUUCCCUCACAUAUUCAGGAAGAUUGGGGGUUCUUAUUCUGAGAUUUUCUUCAAAUACUUCAGAAAGAACUUGGUCUCGUAGAUGUAACAAUCCACCUCCUUUCUCUGAUUCUUCCCUCACAUUCGCCAAGAAGCACUUGCUUUCAAAUUCCUUAGAAAUUUGGUUGAAAAUAACGCCAGCAAUGGUUGUUUUACCUAUACCGCCCAUACCCCAAAUUCCUACAAUUUUGAAAUCCAAACGUCCGAGGAAUAACAAUGAUUUAAUUUUCUCAAUUUGUGAAUUUAAUCCAACUAGGCCAUUGGGGUAGGUAGAGACUGUAAUGUUUUCUACUUUCUUCAAAAUAUCUUUAACAACUACAUCUAGCAGGCGUGCCUCAGACCUAGCAAGUGCAAAUAUGAAGAGCAAUGACUCAAAUUGGACCAAGUUCGAAACGGAGAAAAUAAACAUCAACAUCAACAGUUCCUUCAUAUUUCCAAUUUCUUAUUAAUCUUAGAUACUAAAGGGUAAAUAAAGGCUACCUGAUUUCCUUGGAAGCCCAUCCCGAGAGAUUGGAUGCUUCUGUCAAUGCAUGCCUCCACUUCUGAACCUUUUCUGGCGUCUUCUUGAGGUGUUUCUCAUGCUUAGAGAAGGCAUCCCCGAAACUUCCAGUUUGCUUCCGUACGUCGGAUGGAUCUGCAUGGUAAAAAACAGGCACAACCAUUUGGCCAUUCAUUUGACGGCAUUCAAGAACUUUGACAAGUUCAUCCAAGCACCAUUUCGAAGAAGCGUAGUCCUUCGAGAAAAUGAUAACUGAAAUCUUUGAUGAUUCGAUUGCUCUCAAAAGGGCAGGCGAAAUCUCGUCUCCUCUCUUAAGUUGUUCAUCAUCAAUGAAGGCUUUAAUUUUCUUUCGAUACAAAGCAGCAUGAAGAUGGCUAGUAAAGUUAUCGCGGGUAUCCUCCCCUCUGAAACUGAGGAAGACAUCAUAAUUGCUAUGGGAAGUUAGACGAGAAGAAGAGGUGGAAGAAGAUGAAGCCAUAACGGAAGUUUUCUACUCUUUGGGACAGAAACAGAGUGCAAUAAAUAUGCAGCUGUGCAAGUGCAAGUGCAUGGAGCUUUCUUUUCUUAACUUGUUUUUAUUUUUUAUUUUUUUUAAACAUAUUGUUGACUUUCUGUCUCGGUUCCAGAAGGUUUCCUGUGACUUCUUGGAGCUUUCUUGGUACUCAUUGUGAAUACUUUUGGGUCGGCCUGCAAUACAUCGCUGUAUCUGGUACAGCCAAUUUUUAUUAUUUUUUUAAUUAAUUUUAUAACCGGCCACCGGUUAUCUCUUAUUUUAAUCGAUUAGUGUGAAAAAAUUAAAUGUAAAUAUCAUACAGCUACCGUUAUUUUAAGUAUAUAACAAGAUUAUCAAUUUAAAUUAUAAAACUACCAAAUACUCCCUCAACUUUACAUGAAAAUAUAUUUAAAAAAUGAAACUUAUAUUUUUUUUCCUCAAAAUAUGUGACAUUACUACUGCAAAUAUUAUUGAAAUAUAAAUAAAUAAAUAUAAUUGUAAAUUAUUAAAUAUUUUUAUUACAUUUAUAAAUUUAGUAAUUUUUUGCAUAAAAAAUUAUCAUAAUAUUUUAUUAAUUUUCUAUAGGUCAAUGCAAUCUAAAUAUUUAGAUCACUAAUUAAUCAGAUUUAUUUUCAAAUAAUUGAAAGAAAUCAAUCCGAUAAUACAUAUAAAGUGAUUCAAACCUCUACCCACUAAUAUGAGAAUAAUAUUUGUCUAACUUUUGGAUAAUUAUCAAACAAGUAUCUUGUUUUUUUUAAUUAAUUAUCUUGUUAAUUAUACCAAACAUUAUAAUUAUCAAUCAAAUAUUAUUGUUUUUUAUUAUUAAUUUAUUACUAGUGGCCAAUAUUUUUAUAUGAUAUAUAUAGGCAGAUUUAAUGUAUCUCAAUCUCUUAUGCAAAUUAAUUCAUACAAACCUAUGUGAAAUUAAUUUAUUCUUUUAUACUGCGUUAUUUUGAUGGUUAUAUUGAUUCACUAUUUUCAAAUGAUAAUAUUUUCUUAAAUACUUAUAAUAGACAUGUCUAUACAUUAAUGGUGUGUUUAUUUGAGUAUUUAGGAAAUGAGAAUGAAGGAAUGAGAAUGAAACUCAUAUUUACUUAGUAAAAUGUAAUUUGAGAAUAGAAAUAAAAUGUGUGGGUCCACACAAUUUUGUAUCCUUAUAAUUUUUUCAUAUUUUCUAAAUUAUCCUCGUUCAAAGCACAAUUAAUUUUAUUAUUUUAAAUGUCAUUAUUAUUAUUAUUAUUAAAUUUUAUUAACUUUAUUAUUAAUUAUUGUUAUUAUUAUUUUUUAUUAAUAUUAUCAUUAUUAACAUUUAUUAUUAUUAAUUUUAUUUUUUAAUUAAUAUCAUUUUUAUAAUAAUAUUUAUACAAAUACAGUAUAACUUCUAUAAAUUAAUACUCGAUAAAUUAAUAAUCUUUAUAAUAUAAUAAUUUUUUGCAGUCCCGACUUAGGCCCUGAAGCUAAAUUAAUAAUUUUGAUAAAUUAAUAAGAUAAUUUUUCUGAGAACUCCUAUAUAACUCUAUGGUCACAUUUAUAUCAUAAAUUAAUAAUUGUAGAAAUUACAAAUACUGUGAAAUUACAAAUGUAACUGACUAUGUCAAUUUAUUAAAAUAUGAGUCUAUUGUAACUUGUUUUUUCUUGAAGUUUAAAUCUAGUUGAAUCUCAUCUUUAAUUUUUAACAAGUUACUAUGAAAUAAAAGAAUACUUUGUGUUUGUUUAUAUAGACAAUAAUUUUAACUUAGUUCAUUGAAUACAUUUAAUUUCUAAUUUAGUUCAUUGGAUAUAUGACUUAGCUAAAUUAUGUAAAUACAUGAAUACUCUUUAAUUAAGUAGAUAAGUAGUCAAAUUCAAUUGAUACAAUUUAAUGAAAUUACAUUUAUUUUAGUUCAUUGAAUACACUUAGAUAAAUUUAUGUAAAUACAAGAAUGUAGUUAAUCAAGUAGAUAGGUACAUUAGAUGAAUUAGUUCAAAUUCAAUUAAUACAAUUUAAUAACUAACAUUUAGUUUAGUUCAUUGAAUACAUUUAGAUAAAUUUAUGUAAAUACAUGAAUUUAGUUAAUCAAGUAGAUAGGUACAUUAGAUUAGUUUUAAUUCAAUUUAUACAAUUUAAUAACUAACAUUUAGUUUAGUUCAUUGAAUACAUUUAGUAAAAUUCAUGAAUUUAUUUAAUCAAGUAUACAUUAUUUAUUUGAUGAAUUUAUUUAAAUUCUAUUGAUUAUAUUUGUAAAAUACAAUGAGUUUUUAGUUAAUUAAAUGUUAGUUCUUUGUACUGUGAACACACUCUAUAAAUUAAUAAUUUAUUAAUUUAUAGAUUAAUUAAUAUCUCUCUAAAUUAAUAAAUUUAUAAGGUCCCGACAUUAUUAAUUUAUAGAGGUUAUAUUGUAUUUAGUUAAUGAAAAUUACAUUAUUUAAUAUUAUGGGUAUUUUGGUAAAUUGAUUCUCAUUUCCAUUUCUUAUUCCCAUUUAUUUUGCCAAAUAAACAGAUCAGUGACAUUCUAGCACAUUCACAUUCUCAUUUAUUUUUACUAAGUAAAUAUUAGAAUCUCAUUCUUAUUCCUCAUUCCUAUUCCAGUCUAUUCUUAUUCUCGACCUAUUUUCAUUCCCAACUCAUUCCCAUUCCACCCAAUUUCCAUUCCAUGAAGUAAACGCACCAUAAAUGUAAUGCUAAUUUUUUAUCUAUUGAAUUUAGUAGUAUCAAAAUUAAUGAUUUAUAAUAAAGCUUAUUUUUUAUGUUGUUAGUAACCAUUAUUACUUUGUUAGCCAAUAUUUAAAUUGAUUAAAAUGAACUCAACUGAGAUACUUGUUACCAAUAUUAGACAUUUAUUAUUAAAAUGUGUAUAUAAUCUGUAGUCCAUAUAUAUGCUUUAAGAAAUUUGUUUUGCAUAUUAAAUUUUUUGGCAAAAUCUAUUUAUGCAUAUUAAAUUUUUUCAAUUUAAGUAAAUCAUAUUUAUAAGUUAAAGUUUAUAUUAAAAAAUAUAAAACAAAAUCAGUUUUUCAUUAAAAAAUUAAAAAAAAUAUAAAUAGCCCCACCCUUGAACCCUAAUUUCUAGUUUCUACCUAACAAUCAAUUUUUUCAUUGCCGCUGCCGCUUCCUUCUGAUCUGGUUGGCUAACAACUUUAGCACUCGGAUCUUUUGGCAUAAAUGUGAGCUGCUGCUUCCUUCUUUCUUUGCUAUCGCUGUUGUUGCCACUUCGUUCUAAUCUGGUUGGCUAACAACUUUAGCACUCUGCAAAUUUCACUGUAUAUUUAUGCACACUACCGUAUUGUCCUAAAGUUUCGCUUUAAUUUUGAUUUUUAAUUUAUUACCUUAUUUUUUGGCAUUUUUGAUAUUUUAUAGCUAUUGUUGGAUAUUUUAGGUUGCUUGCAUGUUUAGAAAUUUAAAUUUUUUUGGGUUAAUUUUAUGAUUUUGAGUUAGGUUUUGAAGUACUGUUUCGGUAGUGAGAGAUGAUAUUUUUCUUCUUACUGUCAAUAUAUAUAAUUACGUGACUAGAUAUUAGAUUAUUGCUGCUUCGUUUUUAUUGGCACCAAUUAGCUGCUGAUUUUUAAGAUCAAUUUUAAUGGAUUCUUCAGUUUUGUUAUUAAAAAAUAAAUAAGCCUUUCAAUGGAGUUGCAUGUCUUUUUGCUUUGAUCUUUUGCAUAUUGUAUUGAGACAAAAGCUUCAUGUGAUUCUUUGUGAUUUUUUUUACUUAGAAGUCUCCAAUUCUGCAAUAUAUAAAGGACGUAUAAUCUUCACUGGCAUUGAAAGUUUUUGGGGGUCUCUUUCCUUUAGGUUAUUGCAAAAUGUCCACGUAUUUGUGCUAGCGGAGCAAGUGGUUUGGUUGGUUCUUUUGGAUGCUCUUCAUUUCUUGCACUUUUUUUUUUUGGAACAAGAAUUUGGGUAUUAUGCAGUUCCAAAUUCGAGAAAUCUUUGAAUUUCAGCAUUUUUCCCCCCUUUAUCAUAGCCAGGUUCACCACAUCAUUUUAAGCUACUUGAUCUUGCUCAACUGAUUAUUAGAGAUUGUUGGUGCAUAUUCCUGAGGUAGCACUUUCGAAUUAAUUCCCUUUUCCUACUUCUCAGCGAUUUUCAAAUUUAGAAUUAUAGUUUAUCUUGGACAUUUACUAGGAGAAUGGUGAUUAUUACAUGAAAAGUGACAAGAAUAGACAAGCAGUAAAAAAUAUUUGGGACGUCUGAUUGGUACAUUUUCUUUUUCUUGGGAAUUUUGAUGUUAUGACAAGAUCUCUGCAUGUUAUGUUUUAAGAACAACUUGCUUUUUAUUUUUAACUAUUAAAGCUGUUAUGGCCUACAAAUGCUGUAAAACUUGACACUUCUAUUAUUAUAAACACGUUUCAUUACAAUUCUAUUGUAAUUAAACUUUCUUUUCUUCUCUUUUUGGCACUUUUGUAAUGGGGCUAGUUUGCAGAGCAGACAAAUGAAAAGCACAAUGACUGUCUUUGUUUCCUUCUGGCUUUAUGUCAGCAUAGCAGGCUUGCAACUCUCUACAGUAAGCAUGUUCUGUUUAUUUUUUUCACUAAAUCAAUAAAAUAUUUUUAUUAUAAGAUUAAUUUUAAGAAAAAAUAUGUUUUUGUGAUUGUAAUUGUGUGAUUGAUUAAAGAUUGUAUGUUUUGGAUUUGAUCUCAUGGAUUUAGAGUUGGAUUAUGUUUGGAAUUGGAAUAAUGUGUUCAUGCACAUAUGAUGUUUGAUGAAGUUCGCAUAAGAUUGAUUCAAUUAUUUAAGUUUUUGAUGCUGAAUUAAGUGGACCAAAAAAUUUUAUCAAUGGAUUGAUUUCUGUUAUGCAGUUGCUGUUUUUACUGCUAUUUUUGCAGAAACACAGCACCUCAAAGUUUUUAGGCGCUGCUUAGCAGCUGUUAUAUAGUAAAAACAACAUUUGGAACUUCCAGGUGUUGUUUUUGCUGCUGUUUAUGUAGAAACAAAGCUCCUGAAAGUAUUAGUGUUGCUUAAUUGUUGUUUGACUUCCAAGUGCUGUUUAACUACUGUUAUGCAAUAAAAACUUGACCUGGAAGUUUUUGGGUGCUGUUUUACUGUGGUUUAUGUAGGAAAACAGCACCUGGAAACUUUCAGGUGCAGUUUAGCCGCUGUUUAUGUAGAAAAACGGCACCUGGAAGUUUGUAGGUGACAUUUUACUACUGUUUAUAAAGAAAAACAGUACCUGAAAGUUUUCUAGUGCUGUUUAGCUGUUGUUAUAUGGCAAAAACAACACCUUGAACUUUUCAAGGGUUGUUCUACUACUGUUUUUGUAAUUGAAACUGCACUUGAAAAUUUUAGAUGCUGUUUUACUGUAAUUUUGCUGCUAAAAGUGCACCUGAAAAGUUCCAGGUGCUGUUCGGAUGCUGUUUUGAAUCUUCUUUAGUUCUUUUUUUUUAUGUCUAUACUUCAUCUUUUUUUUUUCUUUGGUAAUUGUUGAGUGUUAGAAAAUGCAUAUUUAUAAAGGAGAAAACCGUCAUUUUACAUUUCAAGUCUUACUAACAACCCUUACUUUUAUGUAUUUAACCUUCUUGUGAUUUAAUUACAUGUGUUUUAUUUUAAUUAAGUAUUUUAUGUAUUUUAGGGGCAUUAUAGUCAUUUCACAAUAAAGGAGAGAUCAGACGGCAAAACGGAUAUCACUUUUGAACUUAGGACGGUCGAAAACCUUAGGAUGAGCAUAAAAGGAAAAAUGGCACUAUUCAUAUGUACGGUACUAUUCACAUGUACGGUACUAACUACGUUACUGUUCACAACACUGUUCACAUAGACGGAUCGAUGACGUGGCAUUGACCGAUGAUGUGGCAUUGACUGAUGAGGUGUCACGAUCCUGUUGGGCUAAAAUUCUUAUGUACUGUUGAUGGUGACGUGGCAGCAUAUCAGUGGAUGAAAAAUCUCGCGUACGGUACAUGCAUCACACAGGAUUAUUUUCAACCAAACCGCGUUACUGUUCAUCCGAGGCAAACCGCGUUACUGUUCAUCCGAGUCAAACUGUGUUACUGUUCAUCCGCGUGGUCAAACCGUGGACUGUUGACUGAUGACGUGGCGCAAUCCUGAGCGUCCAAACUGUUUUUAAUCCGAUGGCCAUGAUUUACUCCAUGUAUCUAUAAAAAGGGGGCCUCCCCCCCUAAUUUGAUAUCUCUGAAUCCAUUUUAGGGAUCCAUUUUCUGUAAUUCCCUCUUCAUCUUGUAUUUUCUUCGUAUUUUAAUAAAUUCCCAUUUUACCCCUAGUUCAAUUAUGAGUGGCUAAUUUUCUUUCAAGCUUGGGUUGAAGGUGAAGUCUCAACAUGUGUCAUGGGCUUUAUUUGGUAAAUUUAUUUUCUUUUCCCCUCUAGUUUUUGUGGAUGAUUUGACUUAUCGUCGACAAAUAAUAAUAAUCUUGUCUAGAUACCGCCUUGGUUACACCGGCUCUCUAGUAUAAGGUUAUUAUUAUUUGGCACGAUAAGCCCUUAGCACCAUAUUGAUUAGAGCGUGGUUCAUGAGGUGUGGAUUCCCCCCUCAUGAUUUAAUUGGCAUUAAUACGGAUUAUUUAGCCCAUGAUGCAUGUUGAUACGGAUCCAGAUACCCAAGUACGUUAUUUCAAUAGAUUUCUCUUCAAUUUAUUAUCGCCAUUGCAAUUCCAAUUUUAGGAUAAUUUAAAUCACUUCCACCACAAUUCCAACCACCCAUUUACAAAAUUAAUUCUACAUAUAAUUAAAAUCCACCUCCUCGUGGGAUCGACACUCGUCACCAUUAGUCUAUACUACAAUAGAUUCGUGCGCUUGCGAGUACAUUAAAAUUUGCACAACAAGUUUUUGGCGCCGUUGCCGGGGAGGUAAGUAGUUUUAAUUCAUAGAAUUAAUUUUUGUGAAUAAUUUCUUUUAUUUGUUUUCUUGUAUUUUUUUUUUAUUAUUAAAAAAAAAAAGAAAAAAAAAGUGAAUCUACAUUUAAAGGUUAGUAUUUCUUUUCUUUUUCUCUUCUUUAAAAUUCUGUAAUUUAAUUUUCAAUUUAUUUUUUUCUUUGUAAUUUUUGUUUAUUUAUUAAUUUAAUUUUUAGUUAAUUUAUUUCACGUAUUUGUUUUUGUGUAUUUUUAUAGAAAAGUUGUAACAGUGCAAUAAGGUUAGUAUCGUAAUUUCUCCCUCUUCUUUAUUUUUAUUUGUUUUGUUCCCAUCUUUAUUUUUAUUUUAUUUGUUUUGCAUGCAUGGUCGUAGGUCAUUAUUACCUAAUCUUGAACCUAUAGACCUUGAACUUGAGAAAACACUUCGCACACACAAACAAAUUAAAAAUAAAAUGGAUUUGCAACCACAGGAGAGGCCAUUUAAGGACUACUUCAGUCCUUUAGCUAAUUUGAGCACAUCAUGCAUAAGAUACCCAAAUGUAGCUGCUAGGAGCUUUGAACUAAAACCUAGUGUGCUAAAUUGUCUCCCCACAUUUUAUGGCCUAGAAAAUGAGGACCCAUAUAAUCAUCUGAAUGAUUUUCAUGCUAUUUGUCAAACUUUUAAAUACGAGAAUUUUUCAGACGAUGAUGUUAAACUUAGAUUAUUCCCAUUUUCUUUAAAGGAUAGAGCUCGUUCAUGGUUAAAUACUUUACCUGCUAAUAGCAUCACAUCAUGGGAACAAAUGGUAACUAAAUUUUUGAAUAAAUAUUUCCCAGUGCAUAAAACCAAUUUUAUUCGCAGGGAAAUUUCAGAGUUUACACAAAGAGAGGACGAGCAGUUUUUCGAAACUUGGGAGCGAUUCAAUGGGCUACUCUUGAAGUGUCCACAUCAUGGGUACGAAAAAUGGCACCAAUGCCAAUACUUUUUGGAGGGAUUAUUGCCGAAUGUGCAAGAAUGGCUAAUGGCAACAAGUGGAGGAGAGUUAAUGUCAAAAAGUGCAUCAGAGAUUUGGGAAUUCUUCCAGCGACAAGCGGAUAAUUCCCAACAACGGAGUCGAUCACUCAGGAAUACUAGAAGAAUUAAAGGAGUGAAUGAGGUUCAAAUUGGCGAGUCAAAUUCAGAAAUCAAAGAAGUCAAAGCAAUAAUAGAAGGUCUCUCUCGACAAAUAGCAUCGUUAUCGACUGCUAAAUCAACAGAACCACAUGACCAUGACUCAUACUCGGAUCAAGCCAAUGCCAUAGGUGUAAUGAGAAAGCCAUCUAAUUACAACCCAUACUCCAACACAUAUAACCCUGGAUGGAGAGACCACCCCAAUUUUUCAUGGUCUCAAGGAUUCCAACAGAAUGGACCAGCAGCUCCAGCUCCACCAAUGCAACCAAUUCCGCAAAUUCCUCAAGCCUCUCAGCUCCCAUUUAGACCAUUCAAUAAGAACCAGAACUACUCUCAACCCAGACCAUGGGAGGAUUCAUUCCAGAAUCUAAAGAAUCUUACUCACUCCACGAUUGAGCAACAAAACCGCACCAUUGAUGGACUACGAAAUGAGUUGAGAGCGGGCUUCAACUCACAAGCCCAAUCAGUUUCAAGCCUCGAGAAGAUGGUAGGACAACUUGCUUCUUCAGUUCAAACCUUGGCAAUGACUGUUGAGAAAGGCAAAUUUCCAAGUCAACCAGUGCCUAAUCCUAAAGGAGUACAUGAAGCAAGUACUAGUUCACCACAGCAGCAUGGAGAGGUCAAAGCAAUUAUGACCUUGCGAAAAGGAAAGGAAGUCGACAACAAAGUGGAGAUGCCUGUGACAAAAGAAAAUCAAAUUGUACCUGUGAAUGUUGAAGACUCAUCACCGGAGGAGAAAGAAGAAACCAACCCACGAGAAUACGUUCCCAAAGCUCCAUUUCCUCAGAGGUUAGCUAAAGGAAAAAAGGGAAAAUCCACAGGUGAGAUUCUCGAAAUCUUCAAACAGGUAAGUGUUAACAUCCCUUUACUUGAUGCUAUAAAGCAAGUUCCAUCUUAUGCCAAGUUUCUUAAAGACCUUUGUACUAAAAAGAGAAAUAUGCAUGUUCAAAAGAAGGCAUUUUUAACAGAAAACGUUAGUUCUAUACUCCAACAUAAAAUUCCUUUAAAAUGCAAAGACCCAGGCUCCCCCACUAUUUCAUGUAGCAUAGGGAACCACACAAUUGAGAAUGCUUUGUUGGAUUUAGGAGCUAGUGUAAAUUUGUUGCCUUACUCUGUUUUCGUGAAACUUGGACUUGGAGAAUUACACCCAACUCCAGUGGUGUUACAACUUGCAGAUCGGUCCACAAAAAUACCUCGUGGUAUUGUGGAGGACGUGCUUAUCCAGGUAGACAAGUUUUAUUUUCCUGUUGAUUUCAUUGUAAUUGACACUCAACCAAUACAUGACUCAAGGAAGCACAUCCCCAUUAUUCUAGGCCGACCUUUCUUGGCAACUGCAGAUGCUCAUAUUCAAUGUAGGACCGGAAAUAUGCAAUUGUCCUUCGGCAACAUGACUAUGGAGCUAAAUAUUUUCAACAUUGCCAAACAACCUCACAGUGCAGAUGAUGGAAUUGUUGAUGUGGAUUUAAUAGAAACAAUAGUUGAUAAUACUUUUCUUUCAAACCUUAGUGAUGAUCCUUUACAAACAUGUUUAACUCACUUUGGUUUGGAUUUUGAUAUUGACAGAUCGGUUGAUGAGGUCAACGCUCUACUUGACUUAGCACCAUCCAUGGACACUAAUAAAUGGAAGUCAAGAGUUGAACAACUAGCACCAUCAGAGAAGAAACUCAUUCCAUUAUCAGAAUCACCACCGAAACUCGAGCUCAAACCAUUGCCCAACACAUUGGAAUAUGCAUUUUUAGGAGAAGAAAGUACUUUGCCGGUAAUCAUCUCAUCAUCUCUCAAUGACGAACAAAAAAGUAAGUUGUUGGAUGUUUUAAAAGAGCACAAAGGAGCAUUAGGAUGGACCAUAGCAGACAUAAAAGGUAUAAACCCAGUAGACUGCAUGCAUUACAUUCACCUUGAUGAAAGUGCUAAAUCUACUAGGGAAAUGCAACGUCGGUUAAAUCCUAAUAUGAAAGAAGUUGUUAGAACAGAAGUCCUUAAGCUAUUAGACGCAGGUAUCAUUUACCCAAUUUCUGAUAGUUCAUGGGUCAGUCCUGUACAAGUUGUCCCCAAAAAGUCAGGAGUCACAGUAGUUACCAAUGCUGAUAAUGAAUUGAUACCAACUAGAGUAACUACAGGAUGGCGUGUAUGCAUUGAUUAUAGAAAGUUGAAUUCUGUCACACGUAAAGACCAUUUUCCUUUACCAUUUAUUGAUCAAAUGCUUGAUAGAUUAGCAGGCCAUGAAUUUUAUUGCUUUCUAGAUGGCUACUCAGGAUAUAAUCAGAUUCCCAUAGCACCAAAAGAUCAGGAGAAAACUACUUUCACUUGCCCUUUUGGCACAUUUGCAUAUAGGAGAAUGCCAUUUGGAUUAUGUAAUGCACCUGCUACAUUUCAACGAUGCAUGUUGAGCAUUUUUUCUGAUAUGGUUGAACGAUUCCUUGAAGUCUUUAUGGAUGAUUUUUCUGUCUUUGGUGACUCGUUUGAUCAAUGUUUACAUCAUCUAACGCUAGUUCUGCAGAGAUGUAUCGAGAAGAACUUGGUCUUAAAUUGGGAGAAAUGUCAUUUUAUGGUAAAACAAGGUAUUGUUCUCGGUCACAUCAUUUCGAGCAAAGGUAUUGAGGUUGACAAAGCCAAGGUGGAUCUCAUUUCUAAUCUUCCUCCACCCAAAACAGUUAGAGAAGUAAGAUCUUUCCUUGGGCAUGCUGGUUUUUAUAGACGUUUCAUUAAAGAUUUUAGCAAAGUUUCUAGACCCUUAUGCAAUCUACUUGCUAAGGAUGUACCUUUUGUCUUUAAUGAUUCAUGUCUUGUUGCGUUUGAAAAAUUAAAGCAUUUGUUGACAUCAUCACCCAUCAUUCAGGCCCCGAACUGGAGCUUACCAUUUGAACUCAUGUGUGAUGCAUCUGAUUAUGCAGUAGGAGCAGUUUUAGGACAAAGAGUUGAUCGAAUUCCUCAUGUUAUUUACUAUGCUAGUAUGACAUUGAAUGAUGCACAGUUGAACUAUUCAACUACUGAAAAAGAAAUGCUAGCAGUAGUGUUUGCAUUGGAAAAAUUUCGAUCUUAUCUCAUUAGUUGUAAAAUAAUUAUAUUCACAGAUCAUGCUGCUCUUAAAUAUCUUCUCACAAAGAAAGAUGCAAAAGCUAGACUAAUUCGUUGGGUAUUACUUUUGCAGGAAUUUGACUUGGAAUUCAAGGAUAAGAAAGGCACAGAAAAUGUUGUGGCGGACCACCUCUCUCGUCUCCAUUUUGACACAAUUACAGAGCCAUUAAUAUUGAAUGAGUCAUUUCCAGAUGAACAAUUAAUGAAUGUGGAAGUAUUACCUUGGUGUCAACGAAUGGGGAGCAUUACACGAAGGAACAUGAUGCCAUUAAAUCCAAUUUUAGUGGUUGAAAUUUUUGACGUAUGGGGUAUCGACUUCAUGGGACCCUUUCCCCCAUCUUUUGGCCAUCAAUACAUAUUGGUUGCUGUUGACUACGUAUCAAAAUGGGUAGAAGCAAUUCCAUGUAGGACCAAUGAUCACAAGGUGGUGAUAGCAUUUUUGAAAAGUAACAUUGUUUCACGCUUUGGAUUCCCUCGAGCAAUAAUUAGUGAUGGUGGUGCCCACUUUUGCAACAAAGCAUUCAAAGCUCUUUUGACAAAGUAUUCAAUCACACACAAAGUGGCGACCCCGUAUCAUCCGCAAACCAGUGGCCAAGUUGAGAUCUCCAAUCGAGAAAUAAAGCACAUAUUAGAAAAGACGGUGAGGCCAGACAGAAAAGAUUGGUCAUUAAGACUUGAUGAUGCAUUAUGGGCAUAUAGAACGGCUUUCAAGACCCCGAUUGGGAUGUCACCCUAUAGGCUAGUGUAUGGAAAAGCUUGCCACCUACCUGUGGAACUCGAGCAUCGUGCAUAUUGGGCCAUCAAGAAAUUCAACUUUGACAUGCAGCAAGCCAGCUCAGAAAGAAGAUUACAACUGGCAGAACUUGAAGAAAUUCGCAAUGAUGCAUACGAAAAUGCCAAAAUUUACAAGCAACGAAUGAAAGUCUUUCAUGACAAGCACAUUAUGAGAAAAUCUUUCACUCCAGGUCAGAAAGUGCUUUUAUUCAAUUCUCGCUUGCACCUAUUCCCAGGUAAGUUACGCUCUCGAUGGUCUGGUCCCUUUAUUGUUUAUACUGUUUUUCCACAUGGGGCAAUUGAAAUUAAAGACCCAAAGAACGGUGUCACGUUUAAAGUUAAUGGUCAAAGAUUAAAGCCAUAUCUAGAGUACCAACCACAUGGAGAAGACACCGAAAUAAAUUUGAGUGACCCACCAGAUUUGAAUUGAUUUUUUUUCUUUCCGUUGAUUUGAUUUUGUUUUCUUUCUUUAUAUUAUUCUUUUGCUAAUUGAAAUUAUUUUUGCAUAAGUGUGUUUGUUUAACUAUUAAGUUUUCUCUUAUCAUUUUUAAUCAUGAGUACCUUACUUAGACCGUUCCUCCUGAACAUUCUUAAACCAUUUCAACGUGUCAAAACUCAUCUCAAAAAGCAGAUUCAAUUUUGUAAAACACAACGCAUUUGGGCUCUACAACCACCAGAGUUAGUAGCCUAUGUUGAGGGUUUAGAACGCCAACUCAGAGACAUUGAGAGAAGUGUUUACGACAUCCAGUUGGAGCUUGAGGUAAAUUCAAUAAGAGGACGAUUUUAAUUUUCUUUGUGUGUUUUAAUUUGUUUUUCUAUUUGUGUGCUUUAGUUUGUUACCCCGGUGAAGUGGCGGAUAACGGUACUCCGUGACAAUCAAGUCGGUUAACUUCAGUUUCCCAUAAUAACUGAUAUUCUGAGGCGAAGGUAUGCAUAGAAACGAGAUUUUAGCAAAGCUUCACAAGCGAUUCCCUUCACUUCCUCAGAAUGCCCUCUUUACAAUCUAUAAAGCCCGGUCUGAACGCAUGCGAUUGCUCAUGAGGAAUAACAUACCUGCAGACAUCCGUUGGUUAAUCGAGGCUAAAGUACGAUUGGCAGGUGAGUUACCUCUUAAAUUUAUUGCAUACAUGCCUGGUUGUGGUAAAGGAAAUUACGCAAGAAAACGACGAGCUCGAAGAAUUUCUGUUGCUUGUCAUAAGUGUGCCAGAAUGAGUUGCGAUGAAAACCCAUGUUCUUUAGGAAUGGUGUCUGAUAACAGGGAAGAUAAGAUUCAAUUCAUUAGGGAUGGCUUGAAUAAGGAGUCAUUGGAUGAUAUUCUUUUGUCUCUUGAAACGCAUCCCAGUGGAUAUGUGCAAGGAGCGAUUCUCCAGUUAUGGCCAUUAUUCCAGAAAGAGCAUACAUGAUAUAGUCUCGGGAAUCUGACUAUAAACGACCCUGUUUGCCAGUUUAUAAGAAAACUGGACGGGAAGCCUAUCCUCGACCCAUAGAGGGCGUUCAAGCCGUUUCUGGACGUAAAACCAGAGGAAGAUGUGAGCCACAGUCGCAACUACGCGUAAAUAUCCUUUUACUUUCUGUUAUUUUAUUUCACUAUUGUUUUAUCGUUUGCAUUAUUGCCUUUAAUAAUUUUAUUACUGUUUGCUUUGUCCUUUUUACUGUUUCCUUUUUGACUCGCGAGCCACGUGCUUUACGCGUUAUUUGACACUGACAUGCCACCCCAUACACAGUUGUGACCCACUGUCACCAAGAUUCUUAAAUGUGAUUUAUCUUUUGUCAAGCACUCACAAAUUGUUUUUGAGAAGUAUCACAAUGGCAGCUACUCCCAAUAGACAAUUCAAGAACAUUUGUGUGCUUUCUGGAUUUACCUAUGGCAAACAUAAAGAGUUCGUGGAGGCAGCCAUAGAUCUUGGUCGAAGUAUAGCAGCGAGAAAAUUACACUUGGUGUAUGGAGGAGGUAACCGAGGAUUAUCAAAAAUGGUCUCAGAAGCAGCUUUUAUCAGAGGAAGUCAAGUGUUAGGCAUCAUCCCAAGAGUCCUAAAACCAUUGGGCAGUUCGUCUGACUCAUCAACUAGAGAAGAGUUAGUCGUCUUAGGUAUGCAAGAAAGAAUAACUGAAAUGCUUAAUCAUGCUGAUGCUUUUAUUUUCCUUCCAGGAGAUCUUGCAACACUAGAGGCACUUAUCACACUAGCAUCUUGGGCCCAUCUGCACAUCCACCAGAAACCCAUCGGUUUGUUAAAUGUCAAUAACUUUUAUGAUGGCUUUAUCGCAUUUCUUAACCAUGCAAUAAAAAACUAUUUCAUUCCUUCUAAUGUGAAAAAACUCUUUAUUUGUGCUCACACUGCUAAUGAGCUACUUGAUAUGUUACAAGCUUAUAAACCGGAGCCAGACCCCUGGAGCUUUGUGUUGGAGCAUCCACAUAAUGAUGGUAACAGUAGCCGCAGUAAGAAGUACAAAUUAGAUUUAACUCUCUGCUUGUAAAUAUUGUUUUCUGUGUUGCACCACCCAGGUGAUGUCUUCUAAACUCUACUUCUUUCAUUUCAAACAUUGAGGACAAUGUUUCGUUCUGGUUGGGGGGAGGGAAUAGUCGACAAUUGUGGAAUCUUGGUUAAGUUUUUACUGAUUUUUUGUUGUAGAAACUAACUGUUGCUAACGUUUUGUGUUGAAGAUGGCUGAAUAUGGAGUGUAGUUACUCUAGAAACACAUCUUCAUCGUUUAAAAAAAAAAAUAAAUAAAAAAAAAAAAAACCGUUUUCUUCCUCUUUCUCCUUUAUAAAUAUACAUUUUCCAACUUUUGAGUCGAAGAUGGCUGAAUAUGGAGUGUAGUUCCUCUAGAAACGCAUCUUUUUUAAAAAAAAAAAAUCAUUUUCGUUUUCUAUCAUUUUACGUGUAACUUUUCUAAUUAGUUUUUAUGCAUCAUUUUCACAUUUCUGCAUGCAUAUUUUCCUUUCAUGUUUAGAAUAGGUUGGGGGGUAGAAUGUUGUUAAAAAAAAAAAAAAAAUUUUGUGAUUUGUUUUAACAUUGGAUGACAUGAUUAAUUUCAAAUUUUAGUAUUUGUAUUAUCUUUGGUCUUAAGUGAUGUUACGCUAUGUUUGCUACUUUACAUGUUGAUGUCGGAGACAAAUGUGAGUUGCUUGAAGGAAUGAACAUGUCAUAAUAAGUACCAAGUGAGUUUUUGAGCCUAUUAUUUUUCUUGGAGAAUAACCCUUUUGCCCACUCUUUAUACAGCUUAGCAGUUUAUUAUUUUACACACGAUCUCUAAAUUGCUUUUGAGUUAACCCUUAAAAAAAAUUGUAAAAUAAAAAAAGAAAAAAGAAAAAAGAGUGUGUUGCUACAUUUGGAGGCCCAUCUAACUAGUAGAUAUGGAAGAUUAUUUAGAGCCCUAAAAGACGAUGGAAAGGCCAUCUUUGAUCCGUUUGAGCCUUUCUAGCCAUCCCUUUUAUCAAAUAUCCAUAGUUAACCCUUUUGAGCUUUUAAAAAAAAAAAAAAAAAAACCUUUUUCUUUGUCAACUUAUCAUCUUGACCCACUCCGAUUUGGAGUAUUACCCAAUGUCUUAUAAGUUCCAUCACCUAUUUAUGUUUGAGAAAAUGUAAAUAAUUAUGUUGUUCAGUAAAGUUAUGCAAAAAAAAAAACAAAAAAAACAAAAAAAACAAAAAAAAAAAACAAAACAAAAGUUGUUGUUUCAAAUGAAAAAAAAAGUUGUUGUUUCAAAAGAAAAUAAAAAUAAAAAUAAUAGGUGAAAUCCACCUUGCAACUUCCAAAAAAAAAUAUUCUUUGCAUUUUUCUCAAACAUACAUUUUGUUUUCCUUAUUUUCCUUCUUCGUUAGCCAUGUCCCUAGCCUACGUUACGUCCUAAUAAAAGUCCUUCUUGAUUUUAGGGAACUAUAGUUUGAAGUAGAAGCUAGUUAUAUGGGCUGAAAAGAUGUAGUGAUGCAUAAUAAUAAAAAAAAAAAGAUAAAUAAAGUGGGUUGACUAGCAUUUUUGUUUGACUUGAGUUCGUAUUAUUUAUAAGCUGAGGGCAUAUUUAUUUCAUCUUGGUGAGAGCAUGUGAUAUCACUUAUUUAUUAUUUUCUCUCUCAAUUACCAUUCAUUGGAGUGACUAUUUUUAUUGGUUUUAAUUUCUUUGUGAGAGUGUCACUACUUCCAGUGAGAUUUUGGGGUUUGACAUGUCAUUCUUGAAAGUAGCUAUGACAAAGUAUACUUGGCUGAUUCAUGUGGAUGGUUGAUGUGGGUGUGAUGUUGCUUUAGACUGGAGAUAAUGCUUAUACUUUUAUUUGAUUGCUAUCAUUAAUCUGACGGAAUAAAUACGAGUGUUUCUAUUAAAAAUAUAUAUAUAUAUAUAUUUUAAAUUUGAAUUUUGUUUUCGCUUUAUUUGCUAGGGACUAGCAAUAAGCUGGUUGGGGAGUGUGUUGAGUGUUAGAAAAUGCAUAUUUAUAAAGGAGAAAACCGUCAUUUUACAUUUCAAGUCUUACUAACAACCCUUACUUUUAUGUAUUUAACCUUCUUGUGAUUUAAUUACAUGUGUUUUAUUUUAAUUAAGUAUUUUAUGUAUUUUAGGGGCAUUAUAGUCAUUUCACAAUAAAGGAGAGAUCAGACGGCAAAACAGACAUCACUUUUGAACUUAGGACGGUCGAAAACCUUAGGAUGAGCAUAAAAGGAAAAAUGGCACUAUUCAUAUGUACGGUACUAUUCACAUGUACGGUACUAACUACGUUACUGUUCACAACACUGUUCACAUAGACGGAUCGAUGACGUGGCAUUGACCGAUGAUGUGGCAUUGACUGAUGAGGUGUCACGAUCCUGUUGGGCUAAAAUUCUUAUGUACUGUUGAUGGUGACGUGGCAGCAUAUCAGUGGAUGAAAAAUCUCGCGUACAGUACAUGCAUCACACAGGAUUAUUUUCAACCAAACCGCGUUACUGUUCAUCCGAGGCAAACCGCGUUACUGUUCAUCCGAGUCAAACCGUAUUACUGUUCAUCCGCGUGGUCAAACCGUGGACUGUUGACUGAUGACGUGGCGCAAUCCUGAGCGUCCAAACUGUUUUUAAUCCGAUGGCCAUGAUUUACUCCAUGUAUCUAUAAAAAGGGGGCCUCCCCCCCCUAGUUUGAUAUCUCUGAAUCCAUUUUUGGGAUCCAUUUUCUGUAAUUCCCUCUUCAUCUUGUAUUUUCUUCGUAUUUUAAUAAAUUCUCAUUUUACCCCUAGUUCAAUUAUGAGUGGCUAAUUUUCUUUCAAGCUUGGGUUGAAGGUGAAGUCUCAACAUGUGUCAUGAGCUUUAUUUGGUAAAUUUAUUUUCUUUUCCCCUCUAGUUUUUGUGGAUGAUUUGACUUAUCGUCGACAAAUAAUAAUAAUCUUGUCUAGAUACCGCCUUGGUUACACCGGCUCUCUAGUAUAAGGUUAUUAUUAUUUGGCACGAUAAGCCCUUAGCACCAUAUUGAUUAGAGCGUGGUUCAUGAGGUGUGGAUUCCCCCCUCAUGAUUUAAUUGGCAUUAAUACGGAUUAUUUAGCCCAUGAUGCAUGUUGAUACGGAUCCAGAUACCCAAGUACGUUAUUUCAAUAGAUUUCUCUUCAAGUUAUUAUCGCCAUUGCAAUUCCAAUUUUAGGAUAAUUUAAAUCACUUCCACCACAAUUCCAACCACCCAUUUACAAAAUUAAUUCUACAUAUAAUUAAAAUCCACCUCCUAGUGGGAUCGACACUCGUCACCAUUAGUCUAUACUACAAUAGAUUCGUGCGCUUGCGAGUACAUUAAAAUUUGCACAACAGUAAUAUGCAGGUACAAUUUUUGCAAGGUAGUAUCCAAGCAUGCAGUUAUUUUUUUUUUAUUAAGAGGUAGUAAUUUAAACUUUAGGCCUCAUUUUUUUCAUUUUCGAGUGUAUGAUGGAUAGGUAUUGGAUGUCAUAUGAAUGAUGUAGCUAAAUGCUUUUUGGUUGUCUCUAUUUUGGAAAAUGUAGUGUCAUUUAUUAUGAAAUAGUUAUUUUAUAUUUUGAAACUGCCUAAUUAAUAUAUUCCUCACUUUAUUGUUUUAUGGAACAGAGAGUUACACCCAAGGAGCGAUAGAUUUGGUUAGACGCGAGUGGGCUAUGUGCACAUGGAAACUUGCAGUUACAUUGUUACCUGAUUGAUAAAUUUAAAAUUAGUCUAUAAAAUUAAUAGAGAUAUUCCUACUCUUUCAAAUGCAAUGGUAAUUAGUAAUCUAGUGAUUUAUUAGUGCUCUGGUUACCUGAACAGUGUAUUUGGAUGUAAUAAAUUAUGUCCAAAAUAAAUUAUAAAAGUUGUGGAAACUAUUAUAAACGAGUAAAGAAAUAGUAAAAUACAUCCAAAAUAAACAAGGUUUAGAUUUAGACUGUAUUUUACUUAUAAGAAUAAAUCUAUUUGCUGAUAAAUUUUUGCCAGUUAUUUUUAGGUGCUUAGUUUUACUCACGAAUGAAUCUAUAUGCUUACAAUUUUUGUCAGUUCUUUUUAGGUGCUUAGUUUCUUUUGCGUUUUUUGAUCUUUUCAUUAGGAUGCUAUUUCAUGAUGUAUAUUAUUCAUGCAAUCAUGAAUUUGUAUUGAAAUUUUAUUCUUAUUUAUUUCGAUGUAUUCUCUUCUAUCUUUAUCGCUGAGAUCAGUUUGUCGUUAAAUGAAAGUAGACAUAAAAGUUAUAAAGAAUGAGUACGCAAGUUGAGAAUAUUUUUUAUAUUCUAAAUAUUGCUGUUAAAAAAAAUUCAUCAAAAAAAUGUUAUAAUUAGAAUGUAGUUUUGUGUUUAUUUUAUAUUUAAGUUUCAAAUUUUCUGUUCAGAACAAUAUAUAUCUAAUCCUGCCUAAGAAUUUAGAUCAUGCAUUUGAAAUUUGAAUAUAUAUUUUUUUUUGGGGCCUUUUUUUCUAAUAUCAUUUGUUUUUUUCCCUUGUAUGCAGAGAUCCAUGAAAUCUAAAUCUCAAAUUAGUCACAUCUGAAGUUUAGCUUUUGGAAGCUAUAAAUUGAUUUAAUUUUGUAUUAGUUCUAUUGAUGUUAAAAAAUUUUCAAGAGCUAUUUUCUCGCAAACUUGUAAAAAGAAUUCUUAGCAGAAGUGGUUUUAGGCUCGUUUCCUUCUGCAAUUCUAACUUUUUAGUGGCCCUCACGUCAGUUCACUAUUGUCACAAAUUGUUUUAGUGAUAGAUGUUGUCAUUUGUGUAUUGGGAAUUUUUAUUUCAUUAAUUUUUAAGAGCAUCGGAUAAAUUAAUAGGACAUUAUAAUUUUAUUUGCAAAUAAAUGCCAACAAAUUUAAGAAUAAAAUACCAUUUGAUCUUGCUAAUUCUUGAUGUAUUGUUAUCUUUCUCUUCAUUCCAAAGAUCACUUGGUCGUUAAAUGAAAGUAGGCAUAAAAGUUGCAUCGAACAAUUAUGCAAGUAGAGAGUAAUUUUUAUAUUUUGAAUAUUGCUGUUAAUAAAUCCCUUAAAAAAUAUAUGUUAAAUGAAAAUAUAUUUUUGUGUUUAUUUUAGAUUAAAAGUCUGAAUUUUCUAUUGAAAACUAAAUUUAUUUGAUCCUAGCUAAGAAUUUGGAUCAUGCAUUUGAAAUUCUAAAUAUUGUUAUUUAUUUUACAGUUGCAUUGUGUUUUCUAAUGUCAUUUUUUUUCUUUUUUAUGUGUAGACACUUGAAAUCUAAAAUGAGCAGCAUCUGAAGUCUAGUUUGAGGAAGCUGUGCUGUAAAUUGAUUUAAUUUUAUGAAGCUAUUUGGUCACAAGCUUGUGAAAAAUUCUAAUUGUCUUAUUACAUCUGUUUAAAUGAAUGGAAAUUUUAGUUUACUUAAAUCUUUUGUGCAUCGCAAACAAUUAAUAGGGCAUUUAUUAUUUUAUUUGCAAAGGAAUGGCAACAAAUCAAGAAUACCUACCAUUCCAAUCAAGACAUGCUAAAUUCAUACCAAUAAAUGUUGUUAAAGUGUUAUAUUCUCUUAGUACCAAAUUAAGCUGUAAAAAACUUUUAAAAAUGAUUUUAGUCAAGUCAGAAAAAUUGAAGAACUGAUUCUGUAAUUGAAAACUUGACUUAAUAUAAUUUAUUUUUAAGAUAAAAAAGUAUACUUUGGUGUAACAUAUCGAAACAUCAAAAUUAAGUUCAAGAAAAAGAAAUCUAAUCAAGUUGAAAUGAUAGAAAAAAAUGAUAAGUGCAUAUUUUCCAUAUAUUUUGUUAUUAAUUUCUCCAUCUUUUUCUUGUUUUGAUAUUAAAUAUUCUAGUUAUUUUAGUUAAUUUUUAAUUGAAUAGGGAAUUAAUUAAUAUACAUAUUUUACCCUUUAUUAUAUAUUUGCUAGUUAUUUUUAUUUCUUAUUUUUAAUUAAUUGUACUAUUUUAUUGAAUAGGGAAUUAAUUGGAGAUUGUGGAUAAAAAGGGCAUGAAGAAGUUCAAAUUGAGAAGGAAUAAAGAUUAAAUUGAAAGACAAAAAUACAGUCAAGAAUUGAUAGAACCGAGUGGAAGAAAUCAAAGCAAUUAAUCCAAUUGAGAAAUGUUGAAUAAUUAAAAGAUUUAAUUUUUCCAAUUGGCAAUUGGAGUGCAAGUGCAUGGCAUUGCAAAAGUGGAAAGCAAUUUAAAUGGGCCCGCAAUUGACUUUCAAAAGUUGGAAUUAAUGGCUUUUGGUGGCGAUAAAUUGGAAAAGGAUUUCAAUUAGAAUUGAAAAAGGAUUUCUUUAGAAUUGUUGGAGAAGAAUUCGGUCAACUAGCAUUAUAAAAGGAGAGCCGCCAGAGAGCGAGAGAAAGGGAGGAGAAUCGGUAGCAAGAGGAUUUGAGGAACCAGCAGCCGCAAGAAGGAAAAGUAAGGGAGAAACCGAAAAAGAAUUGAAGAAAAAGGCAGCCGCUUGAAUUAAUCUCCAUGAUUGGUUUUGUCAAUUCUCUUAUUUCCAAUUCAAUUAUGUUAGGCUAGAUUUUUAUUUGGUUGAGGGUGAAUUCAAAACCCUAAACAUGCUAUGCAAUUAAUUUUUAAUUUCUAUCAUUCAAUUUAUUUAAUUGAGAUUGUUUAUGUUUUUCUAUAAUUAAUGUUUAUGAUUUUAUUCCCGUCUUGUUUGAGUGGCCAAUUAGAUAAGACUUGAAUAAAUUCUAUUACUAGAUUAAAAUUCUUGAUCCGUAAUUGUCUUGAGAUUUUAAUCAUAAGUAGCAAGUUGGAAUCAGUGAUUUCAAUUGGAGAACAUAACCUAGGUUAAAUAAUCCGAGCUUGUGUGUUUAUUGCCUAGAUCAACCUAAUAUCUUUCUCUGUUUAAUGCUUCCAUUAUCUUAAAUUUAAAGAGCUUGUUUUAAAUUAUUUAAUGGUUAGAGAUUAGGUAAAGAGCUUGUUUUGCCUAAUGACACACUAAGGAAAGAUUUAGACUAACAGAGCUUAUUGUUGUCUACGGUUGAUAGUUUCAAUAUAAAUUGAUGAUAGAAUUGAUAUAUUAUUUGCAUGUUUGGUGGUGGCGAAUGAUCAUUUAACCAAAGUUUUCAUCAUUAUUAUUUCUUUCUCCUUUAAUUAGAGUUUUUAUUAAAUUCUUGUUCGUAGUUUUAAUUUCUUUAUUUCUUACUAUUUAGUUAAAAAUUCAUACACCCCCUUUUUAUUUAUAAUUGUCAUUUUCUUUAGUUAGAUUAAUUUCUAUUAUUACUACUAUUAUUUUAUUUUAAAUCUUGCUUUAGAGUUGAUAAUAAAUAUAACUAGCAUAGUCUCUGUGGGAUCGAUCCUUACUCGCUCUGUACUAAUUAUUUAUAUUAGUGGUAAGGUUUUAAAUUUGGUGCACCUUAACGACACUACCAAAAAAUGAUGUUUUAAUACAAAUAAAUUAGCAUCAAUUUUAUUAAUUUAAAAUAUUUUGUAAGUUAUAACUUACGUUUGCCUUAACUUUUUAAAAGAUAAUUUUUUUUGAGAAGCAUAGCAAUUGGCUGCAUCCUUAUAUGGUAUUAUUGUUUAAGUUAUAACAAAUUAAGGAAAUUCUUUUAAAAGUAAAGAGAAAGAUGAAAAUAAAUUUAUAAGGUUAUUUUAAACGUAAAUAAUUAAAAUUAAUUAAAAUGGAGAACAGUGAUUCAAAAGAAUUAGAAUUUUUUAAUUUUUUAUUUUAAAUUAUCAUGAUCUAAAACUUGAAUUUAGACAUUUUUUAUUUGAAAUAGAAUUUUAUUUUUCAAAUUAUAAAUUUUUCAUAGCAAAAUGAGAAAUGAUAAAUGAACAAACGUUUGUGUAGAGGUCAAAAGGUCAAGUAUGGAUAAUCAAAUUAAUGAUUAAAAUAAUCUCUCAAAAUAAUGAAUAACGAUUUUUUUAAUCUUUUUUUCUCUUCCAAGUACAAACAAAACAUUUUUGCCAACCUUUAAAGCUUUGAUAUAACAUAUUAAUUUUCAUGGUUCACGGAAUAAUCGUAUAAUAAAUAUAUAAUUUAUUUGAUCAUAACAAUUUGAAAAAUAAAAUGUUUGAGGAGUAUAACAAUUGCAUGGAAAGUUGUUAAAAUGAAUUUUGGUUGAAGUCAAAGAAAUUAAUUAUUUGAAAAUAAAUAGAAUGACAACAAUUUUAAACGAACUGAUAAAAAAAUUAUUUUCCUAGAAGCUUGUAAAAAAUUCUUAUAUACAAAUGGAUGAAAAAUUUGAUUUGAUUAAUUUUUUAGUGCACUGGAUAACUUAACAGGGCAUGAUAAUUUCAUUUACAAUUGCAAUCAUUCUCAAUUGUUAUUUAUUUAUUUACAGUUGAAGUUAUGAAAAAUUAAAGCAUUUAGUUUGAGAAGUAAAGAGAAAGAUGGAAAUAAAUGCAUAAUUUAUUUUAAAUAUAACUAAAUACUAUUAAUUAAAAUGAUUAAAUGAUAAUAAAUAUGUAUAAAGAUUAAAAGCUUAAGCAUAUAUAAAUUCAAUUUCAGAAGAACUUAUGAAGUAACGAAGAUUAAAAAAAAAGGACUUAAAUUAAGGACCCAAAACGUUGAAAAUGAUAAAGGGUUGCAAUAAAAAAAAUUUCAGUAUUGUAUAGUAAAUUGAUAUUUGUUAAAAUAAUAAGGGGUUAUAGUGUUGGAAUAAUGAAAAUAAUAGGAACAUAAAACCAUUGUAAGGUGUGAAAGAGUAGGAAUAACUUAACCUAAAAGUGAGAAUAAUUUACUAAAAUGUUGAAAAAUUAUAACGGAAAGCAUGAAUUUAUGAAGUAAACUUGGAUCAUUAGCCAAAAUAUUGGAAUACACUUAAAAGAGUAAGAAUAUGUAACAAAAAAAUCUUGAAAAUAAAGUUGAAAUUGAUUAAAAGAAACUAGGAAUACAAAAAAUAAACUUGAAAUAUCUAAUCAAAAUAUUGGAAUUCAAUAUAAAGAGUGGGAAUAUAGAACCAAAAAAUGGUGGAAAAAGGAGUGGAAGAGCAGAACUUAAAAGUUGGAAUAACUUGAUAAGAGUUUGAUAAAUUCCAAUGAAAAGUAGAGAUCCGAAAGAUGAACUUGAAACAUUUAUCUAAAUGUUGGAAUUCAAUAAAAAGAGUAGGAAUAUAGUAUCGUGGAAAAAAGAGUUGAAGAGGUUAACACAAUAGUUGGAACAACUUACAAAGAAUUUGAUGAAUUCCAAUGAGAAGUAGAGAUCUUAAAAACGAACUUGAAAUAUUAACCCAGAAUAUUGGAAUUUAGUAAAAAAAAAAGUAGGAAUAUAUAACCAAAUCGUGGUGGUAAUAAUAGUUGAAGAACUUAACCCAAAAGUUGUAAGUAUCUACCAAUAAUCUGAUAAAUUCCAACCGUGUAUAGGGAUCUGAAAAAUAAACUUGAAACAUCCACAUAAAAUAUUAAAAUUCAAUUAAAAGAGUAGGAAUAUAAAACCAAUAUAUUGAGGAAAAUGAGUGGAAGUGCUUAACACAGAAAUUGAAACAACUUGACAAAAUUUUAAUAAAUUCUAAUGAAAAGUAGAGAACUAAAAAAUAAACUUGAAACAUUUACUCAAAUAUUGGAAUUCAAUAAAAUGAGUAGGAAUAUAAGACCAAAAUUUGGUAAGAAAAUAAGUUGAAAAUGUUGACCCAAAAGUUGGAACAACUUACAAAGAAUUUAAUAAAUUUUAAUGGAAAACAUAGAUAUGAAAACAGAACUUGAUAUAUUUAUCCAAAUGUUGGAAUUCAAUAAAAAGAACAGAAACAUAAAACCAAUAAAUGGUGAAAAAGAAGUGGAAAAGCAUAACCCAGAAGUUGGAACGACUUAACAAGAGUUUGAUAAAUUCCAAUAAAAAAUAGAGAUCUAAAAAAUAAACUUGAAACAUUCACCCAUAUGUUGGAAUUCAAUAAAAAGAGUGAAAAUAUCGAACCAAAAUUUGAUGGGAAUAAAAGUUGAAGAGGUUAACCCAAAGGUUGGAAGAAAUUACAAAAAAUUUGAUAAUUUUUAACGGAAAGUAGAGACCUAAAAAAUGAACUUGAUAUAUUUACCUAAAAUAUUGGAAUUCAAUAAAAAGAAUAGAAAUAUAAUACCAAAAAAUGGUGGAAAUAACAAUUGAAGAGUUUAACCCAAAAGUUGUAAGUACUUACCAAUAACUUGAUAAACUUCAACAAUAAAUAGAGAUUUAAAAAAUGAACUUGAAUCAUCUAUGUAAAAUAUUAGAAUUCAAUGAAAAGAGUAGGAAUAUAAAACCAAAAAGUGCUGGAAAAAAAUAGUUGAAGAGCUUAACCUAAAACUCGGAAAAAAUUACCAAAAAUAUGAUAAAUCCAACAACAAGUAGGGAUCAAAAAAUAAACUCAAAAUAUUCACAAAAAAUAUUAGAAUUAAGUAAAAAGAGUAGAAAUAUAGAACCAAAAAAUGGUGGAAACAAGAGUUGAAGAGCAUAACCUAAAAGUUUGAAGAACUUAACAAGAAUCUGAAAAUGUUUAACAAGUAGUCGAGAUCUAGAAAAUGAAUCUGAAAUAUCCAAGCAAAAUGUUAGAAUUCAAUGAAAAUAGUUGGAAUAUAGAACCAAAAAGUGGUGAAAAUAAGAGUGGAAGAAGUUAACCGAAAAAUUGAAAUAAAUUAACAAAAAUUUGAUAAAUUUAAACGCGAAGUAUGGAUCUAAAAAGUAAAUUUGAUACAUUUACCCAAAAUAUUAGAAUUGAAUAAAAAUAAUAGGAAUAUUGAACCAAAAGUAGUGGAAAAAUAAGUUGGAACCACUUAGCAAUAAUUAGAUAAAGUCUAAUUGAAUAUUGAGAUUAAAAAAUAAACUUGAAAUAUCAACCUGAAAACUAAAAAUUUAAUGAAAGAACUGAAAAUAUAGAACUAAUAACUGAUGGAAAAAUGAGUUGAAACAACUUACCAAGAAUUUGAUAAAUUCCAACGGAAAGUAGGGAUCUAGAAAUUGAACUUGAAAUAUCCAAACAAAAUUUUGGAGUUCAAUAAAAAGAGUAGGAAUAUAGAACUAAAAAGUGGUAGGAACAAAAGUUGAAAUAAUUUACCAAGAAUUUAAUAAAUUCUAAUGAGAAGUAAUGAUCUAAAAACUAAACUUGAUAUAUUUACCUAAAAUAUUGCAAUUCAAUAAAAAUAGUAGGAAUAUAGAACCAAAAAGUGGUAAAAAAAUAAAUCGGAACAAUUUACUAAAAAAUAGAUAAAGUUUAAUACAUUAUAGAGAUAUAAAAAUAACUUGAAAUAUACGCCUAAAAAGCUGAAAGUUAAUGAAAAGAGUGGAUGUAUGGAACCAAAAACUAGUGGAAAAACGAGUUGAAACAACGUACCAAAAUUUAGAUAAAUAACCACGAAAAAUAGGAAUUUAAAAAGUAAACUUGAAAUAUGCAUUAUAAAUAUUGGAAUGUGACAAAAUAAGUAGGAAUGUAACCAUUUUGUGACAUGUUUAUAUUUUUUAUAUUUUUUGUACUAUUUUUAAAUUUAAAAUUAUUACAAUCUUUUUUCUCAUUUAAUUACAAUUUUAUCCUUUUUUCCAAAUUUUUUCAUAAUUUUUUCACAUUAAAAACAAAUAAAAAUAUAAUUUUCAUUAUAUUAUCCGGUUAAAAACCGGUUGUACCGGUUGCAUGCAUGCGCUGUAUGAGAUACAGUGCUGCAUGGUAGGUUGGCAGCUCUGACUUUCUGUGGCCGAACAUCUAGAAACUAUAAAAGCAAUUUAUUAUAAAAUUAGAUGUUGAAGAUGCACCAAGAAUAAUGCAACUUCCUUUAAUUAAAAUUUAAGCCCUUGCAACCUUGCUAAAGAAUAAAUAUUUAGAAAAUUGAAGUUGAAAUCCUUUAAUAUUUUUUUUUUCUCUUUUGGUCCCCUUAAGAAUUUGGAGAAGACCGAAAAUAUCCUUCAAGACAUCAAAUUUUCCCAAUAAGGCAUGGAGAUGAGACAAAAAAACACGUGUUAAUUAUUUUAUUAUCUCACAGCCAUCGAAUAAAUUGUAUGAUUGAUGUACAACUUUGUAGGUGCACCUCUGUUAUGAACAACACAGUUUCUCAGGUGUAGAUGUAAAACCAAAUCAAUUUAUAUAUUUUCAACAUCAAUCCCUUAUUGGAUAGAUCUUGCAUUUUCAAGACCAGAUCAUAAGCAUUGUUGAAAGUGAAUCAGAAGCAGACUUAAAACGCAGCGUUUUGCUGUUGUUAGUUUACCAGUUUCAUCACUUAAGUCCCACGUGCAUCACUUAAAUUGACUAAGGUCACAAGCAAGGGGACAAGGCUACGUUGCAGACUCUGUAAGUAACAGCUCAGUGCAAACUGGCCUUGUAUCAGCUGAGUUCCAAUAGCUUUUCCUCUCUCCUGCAACGCGUGGAUGCUCCCCAUUUGCUAUGUUACAUACAGAGUCUGUAACAUAGCAAGCACCCAAGCAAGGCUGUCAAGCCGUUAUUUUUUACGGGAAGCGACAAAGAGCUCGGUUAGGCUGGUGGUUGUACCAUUUUCUGGAGAGAGACAAUUGGUGAGGGGUUUUUUUUCUUCAAGUUUGUACUCAGUGGUAUUAAAAACAAUUUUUGUGUCUUGCAUUAAAAAAAUCGGCAGAGAAAUUGACUUGUUUAUGGGAUGGGAUUAAGUCAUAUCGGGUGACUGAAUCAUCACAAAUUCUGUUUUGUCGAUUGUUCUGGUUUAAUCUGUUUUGCAAUGUCUCGAGUCUUUCAACUGUGUUCAUAUUCUUGAUCUUGAGGGGGGUUUCUUUUGCAGAGAUUAAGGAUAAUAAGAAAAAACCUUGAAUCAAAUGCUUCCCUGAUAAAAAUGUAAACUAGAUACGCUUAUAGCUGUGAACCAAGAAAAUGACUCAAGCAUACAGAAAGAACUAAUUUUUCCCCAGCAUAAAACAUUCUCUAUUAUUCAUUGACAUUUAUAGUACUAUGAGCAGAGAUGAAGUAUUUCUCUACAUCCAGCAUCGACAGCUGAUAGUUGAUCACACAUCAUUACAAAACUGACAGUUUGUCUUAUUGUUCAUGAAUCAGGAGUCAUCAAUCCUUCAGUCCUCAUCACCAAGGUGUCCUGAAUGUUCUUGCUCAACAAGCCAACCAGGGAACUUAUUGCUGACCCUUUGAUUCAUUAUUGAUCUCGAUUCUCUGAUUGCUCUAGAAUUCAAAUGUAAUGGUUCCCACCAAAAAUGCUUCACUGAGGCAUUCCGUCGAACAUAAUCUGAAAACCAACAAACACCUUCUCAUUUUAACUAUUCUACAAGAUGCUGCUCUGUUCAGCUCUGCCAGAAGAUCAUCCGUGUUUACAACUGCUCUCAUGGUAUAGAAAUACAAAUGCCAUAAAGAUAUUGUCAGUGUACAUGUAUCCCAAAAGCCCAGCCAUCUUGCAAGCAAAAAUAAAUACGCAUGUGGUCAUACUUAUCAAGCAUGAAUUAAAUUCCAUUAAAAAUUGUCCUCUUUUAUGCCUUGGAAGGCAUAGAACCAUAGGCAAUUGGAGGUUUCUAAUGGUCUCAUAAAGUGCACAAACCAAAAUUACAAAGAAAACUAUCUACAAAAGUUGAAUGACAACCAAAAAUAUAAAGUACAACCUAAAAACAAAUGCCAAUUUUCCAUAGUCUAUGAACGUGAUGCUACAUAGUUUCGCUAUAGUAUACUCAAAUAUGCAUCAGAAAGUUAAGGUAGUACUGGAUCAUGGAAAUAAACUGUGAACAUAAGGAAAGACUAGGCAUCUUUUGGUGUAAAAAAUUAGUGCAACAGUAACUUAUAACCCAAGAGAUUAUAAAGCAAUUUCGUUUAAGCUAUUUCUGGAAAAAAUAUGCAGAAAAUGCAAAAAAUAAAAAGUAGAUAAUUGAUUAAAAAUAAUCCCAUAAAAAAAUGAUAAAGAACCAGAAAUUGAUGGGAGCAUAGAACUUACAUAAGAAACCAUAAUAUGAGAAACCAACUCCUUUGUUAGUCAGGGUUGACUUGAUCUCUGCGGAUUCUCUUGGAACUCGGUUCCAAUUCCCCAUCUUCAGAUCUGCCAACACAUGUAGAAGGUUUACUUGUGCCAGCAGGCAUCUUAUUAUGACUGCAUUCUUCUUUAGUACUGGCAGCAAAUUCCAAAGUAUAAGUGUUGAGUUUUGUCUUAUUGGGACUCAAAUACACUGGAGACACACCACAAUUUCUCAACCGGUAAGGUGCCGGGAGUCUAGCUAUUUUAUCUACAAUGUCGAAGUGAAAUGAGACAAUUCCAGGGUGUUCACCAUCAGCAUCAGGUAGCCCAACAUUCCAACAGGGAAAAAAACCAAGUAUGACAUGAUCCGAGUCAGUGGAUACGUCAGGGCCAAAACGGGAUUGCAUAGCAAAAUGUUUGGUUUCAGAGUGUGUCCUUAUUUCAAAAGUGCAGUUACAUAGGACAUCUAAUUCGCCUGCCUGAAUGACAAUACCAAAAGCAAAUCCAAUGAAGUUUCUUUUUAUGUUAAAACAUUGAUGUGGCCCUUCAAGUGUUAUUGAAGAUCCUAAGCUUCGAUGAAUAAACCAAUCAGGAAUUUCACUUCCAGGUAAACAAAGGUUGACUUCAACUGGAUGAGCAAAUUCCUCAUCUGAAUUCCGAAAGGCUUGUUGACAUAGUUUCAGAGAUUGAACUAUCAUAUCCUGAAUUCUCUCUUUUGAAUCUGCCAAAAUUUUGAUGUUUCCGUUUUCAUUCAGUUUCGGGCAGUUGCUAAAAUUGAAGUUCAUAAAUAUCCUUGAACUUUGUUCGAAGGGCAUGGAGAGUGUUUCCAUUAUGGAUGUAUCUAGUUCUUGCGGACACAAAGGAAGCUCUGGCAAAGAUUGAAGCCUCUUGCAAUUGCUUGCUAUUAACAUCUCUAGAAACAAUGGAAGCUCUGAUAAUGACUGAAGCAUUUUGCAAUUUCCCAAGUGAAGAUAUCUCAGCUCUGGUAAUGACGGAACAUUUUCGACUGCAGUCUCCCGUAAGUCUAGUUUUAUUAGAUUUGGGAUUUCAGUUGGUUGUGGGAUCCUGGUGAGAAAUUGGGAGUUGCGUAGGUCGAUAAAUUUUAAAUUGAGAGCCUCCUGUUAAAAAAAAAGAUAAUUACUAUGUUAAAUUACUAUGUAUCAAUAAAAUUGUCAAUUAAUUAAAUAAAUGUAAAGAAAGAAAAAUAUAUAUUUUGGUAAUAGUAAUACACUAUACCUUUUCUCCUUCCCAAAUUUGCUUAACUUUGCUAUAAGGCAAAUUCAGUUCAAUAAGGUGCUCUGUCUCAAAAUAAAAUGGCAGUGUUUUCAAUGGAUAUCCAUGCCAGUGGAGAUAUCUCAAUUUUGCAGGAAGAUAUUUAAGAACUGGAUCAAGAUGCACUCUAAAGCUCACACUUGAAACAUCACAACGCUCUGGAACGUAGAAUUUAAGCCAUUUGAGAUUUGACAUAUUCUCAAAGGCUUCAAAACUCAAACGCAUCUCCUUUGUUUUGGACAAAUCAAGGAAUAUGCCCUCAAUUGCAUCGGUACCCUUUUAAACAAAGCAAAGAAUGACUGGGUAAGCAUAAAUUCUAAAAAAACUUCUGAAAAGUUGAUUAAGUGCUUCCUAAUCGAAGAAUAAAAUGCACACAAAAUCUACAAAUAUUAGAGUAUAGGUGAUUUUACUUGGUUCUUAGCGCCAAAACAUUUAAGCAUUAUAACUAGCCGGGGGAACUGAUAAAAUGAUAAAUAAAAUUAACACUUAAUAGAACCGUUAUAACAUCAAGGGGAUAAGAAUGAAAUUUUAAAAUAGGAUGGGAGUUUUGUUUGAUUAAUUAUUUGCUUUCUCUAUGUAGAAAGGGGUGAGCUCUUUUUGACCCUAUAAAACUAACAAGGUUUUUAAGUACGAAACGAAAUUAUAGUGAAUGGGAGCAUAGUACAUAUAAUUUAGGGGUUUAUGUUGUUUUGUCCGUACAAGUAAUUUGGACUAAGGAUGUAUAGAGAGAAAAAUUAUGUCAAAUAAGUUGAUUCAUACCUUAUUUUUUGUUAGCACGUCGUAGACAUCUUUGCGAUCCCAUAGCCUGCUACGAUUGCCUGGUUCUUCAGAUUCUUCGCGAACAAUUGUUUGACCCAUUUCUUGCAAUAAAUCAUGCAUUUGCAACCUCUUAUACGAUAUUGUAAUGAGUGACUUGUCAGCAAGGAAUUCCAGUUCAUAGCGCAGAGACGUAGGCUUGUCUUGUAUCCUUGUCACAUUGUCCACUUGUUCUCCUUUGAAGAAACAUGCAAUGUCAAGAAAUAUUUUCCUAUGUUUCGGACUUAGCUCAUCAUAACUGAUUUUCAGCACCUUAUAAAUUCUAGGUUCAGAAAUCAGUGUCAAGUCAUGCAAUUUAUUAUGCCACUGUUCUUCGCUCUUUCGUCUCAGGGAAGAACCCAAUACUUGAAGAGCUAACGGAUUGCCAUCAGCAUAACAUGCAACUUUCUUUGAGAGCUCCAGAAGUUCAUCUGAGUGGUUUUUCCGACUUAAAGCUUUUCUACAAAAGAGCUCACAAGCUUUAUUGUGAUCCAAUCCCUUGACCUCGUACACAAUACUAUUGACUCCAAGUACUCCUCUAUCUCUAGUGGUUAUAAUAAUUCUACUUCCAGGUCCAUAUAGACAUAGCUCUCCAACUAAACUUUCUAAUUCUUGGAUGAAGUUAUCAUCAACAUCAUCAAGAACGAUCAACACUUUACUCCGCUGAAGCCUUUUCCUGGUAUGUGGGUGUAUUGUAAGAGUUCCUAUUUUGAGAUUACUUUCUCCUAAUACUCGAGAAAUGACCUCAUCUCGAACAUUAAGUGCUCCCAUAUUUCUUGAUUCUUCUCUGACGUUUCUCAUGAAGCACUUACCGUCAAAGUGGUUUGAAUAUUCUCUAGAAGAAAUUUGGUGGAAAACAGCUUCAGCAAUGGCUGUUUUACCUAUACCGCCCAUGCCCCAGAUUCCUACGAUUCGAACACCAUCCAAUUCCAGACACAGCAGCGAUUUGAUUCUCUCAAUUUGUGAAUUGAAUCCGACGAAGCCAUCAAAAUUAGGUGGGUCUGCCAUGUCUUCCAAUUUCUUAGAAAUAUCUUCAGCAAUCUUUUCCACAAGUUCCGCAUCAUUCCUAGCAAGUGUUGUUCAAGAUAUAAAUACAAUGAUGAUGAGUCAAAAUAGAUCAAGCUAGGCUAUAGAGCAUUAAUGUUCUUUCGUUCAUUGACAAAAACAAAAGCAAGAGUUAAAGAGUUACCUGAAUAACCCGGAAUAAUGGAAUCCAGAUAUAUUUGAAGCUUGGGUCAAUGAAUCCCUCCAUUUCUGAACCUGGACCCUAUCCGGAAAGUUCCUUUCGUGGUGAACAAAAGCUUCUCCGAAACUCCUCCUCUGUUUUCGCACAUCGGAUGGAUCUACUUUGUAGAAAACCGGUACCACAAUUUGGCCAUUCCUAUUCUUGCAAUCAAGAAUCCUGACAAGUUCAUCGAGGCACCAUCUUGAAGACGCAUAGUUUUUUGAGAAGAUGAUUAUAGAAAUAUCUGAUGUUUCGAUUGCAUUCAAAAGGGCAGGCGAGAUCUCUUCUCCUCUCUGAAGUUCUUCAUCAUCUAUGAAGAACUGUAUUUGUUUCCGACGUAAAGCUUCAACUACAUGGCUGGUGAAGCCCGUACGGGUAUCCUCCCCGCAGAAACUGAGGAAGACAUCAAAUUUGCUUUGAGCAUUGAGGUUUGUAGAAGAUGAAGCCAUGGAUGAAGAAACAGAGCUUCAAAGUAGAUGAUGGACCGGGUCAAUAUGCUUUAUUAUUAUUAUUAUUCAGAGUAAGAAGACCAUAAAGAAAAGGCAAAGUCAGAAAUAAUGAGAGUGCAGUAGCCAGUAGCAUUGCUCUUUGUCACGCGUGUGUAAAUGUUAUAAUCAACACCCCAAAGCUUUUUCCAUUCGAAAGAGAUAACGAGAGUGAAUGGGCCUGGUGUUAUGUUUACUGGAGCGAGCUAGCAUUUCUCAUAGAGUUUACUAACUACAACCAAGAAAUAGAAGCAAAGCCAUCAAUUGGAUUAUGCAACCAUAUUUUAACUGAAUUAUAUAUAAGGCAGAGCCAUAAAUGUGGGAUAAAAGGUUUGAAUUUCUAAUCGCAUUCGUUCUGAUAGAGCUUGAAUAUCUCAAUUCAUCACAACUUUUUAUCUUCUAUUUCUAAUGAACAUAACUUUACGAUUCUUAGGAUUCAUUGAAUCAAAGAGAUCCAAACAUUACAAAGAAGAGUGUUUUUUCUUUUUUCCCUUUUUUUUUUUUUGUUGGCGGGGGGGAAUUACUGCCUCCCCCCACACCACCCCCCUUCUCCCUUUCCCCUUCGUCUUUUGUAACAAGCUUAUACACAGGUAAAAAACAGUAAUUUGCUGAGCUGCCAAAAUGACAGCUUGAUUCAAGCAUUUUCGCACACGAAGAAAAAGCCUUCAAUAGAUUGCUUCUGAAGCUCUUCUGUGACACCAUGAGCUCUCAUUGUGUAUAAACCCAAUGACAAAUGCUGUCAAGCCACCGGCAACGACAACACAGAACACCUUCAUUGAUUUAAAAUAAUCAAGGAAUGAGGGAAAAGAAAAAAAAAAAUAAUCUCCUGAUCUCUGACACUCAUACGAUAUGACCUGGAAGUGUAAAUGUGAGUCGAGAAGCUCCUCUCUUCGAUAUGAUCGACAUACAGCUCUACACGUGUACAUUAAGACUAAACACUACGUAGUGCCAUAGACAAAAAAAUUGUAACCAGAAUUAAUGAAAUAUCCUAGCGAUGAAUUAAAUAUUAAAUUUGGACAUAAAAUCAUUGAUUCCAAUAAUUAUCCAUAUAUGCUGCGUUUACUUUUUGGAUUGGACUGGGAAUCCUGAGGAGUGGGAAUCUUUGGAUUAGGAGUGUAGAGUGGGAGUGGGAGUAGGAUGUUUACUUAGACUAAAUGAAAAUAUGGAUUGUCAAUUAGAAUCCUAAUUAUUUGUUUACUUUGUCUUGGAUUGGGAGUAAAUUGUUUUAAAUUAUAAUUUUAUCCUUAUGUACAGAAUUAUAAUUUGUAAUUAAAAAAUUAAUAAAAAAUAUAUUUGGAAAAUAAAAUAAAUAUUUUAUUAUAUUUAUAAAUUAAUAAUAAUUACUAAUAUUCUUAAUUAUGUAAAUCAUAAUUUUUUAUUAAUUUUAAUUUAAAUUAUGUGAAUAAAAAUUAUUAAUAAUAGCAACACAAAUGAAAUAUUAUUAUUGAUAAUAUAGUACAAAAUUAAUAUUUUUUAGAAUAAAAUAUUUAUUAUUAUUAAUUAAAUAAAUAAAUAAUAUUUAUUAAAAUUAAUGUUUAAUAUUAUUAAUUUAAAUAUAAUAUUUAUUUAUUUUUAUUUUAUUAAAUUUAAUAAAAUAAAUAUGAUAUAAUUAUUAUUUUUAAUAAAUAUGAUAUUAUUUAUUUUAUGAAAUAUUAUUUAUUUAUUUUUUUAAAUAUUAUUUAUUUAUUUUAAUUUUAUAAGGAUAAAAUGGGAAGAGGGGGGAGUGGAUUCCCACUCCCACCUCCCCCAAUGGGAGUGGGAUUCCCACUCCCCACUCCAAAUUUGGGUGGGACCCACGGAUUUCCACUCUCACUCUCCUCAUUUUUAAGGUAAGUAAACACUGGAGUGGGAGGAAUCCACACUCCACACUCCCACUCCAGAAAAUAAACACUACCAUAAUGUAAUAAGCCGGAAAUGGUGAGGAGAAAACAAGAUAAAAUAGAAGAUAUCAGAGUGAUUCCUUAAAGCACAGAAGGGGAAUCUUCAUUUCCAAACAACAUUAAACUUAAUCUCCAUGAAAUAAAUUGCAGGUAUUAACUAAAUUCACAGAAAACUGAACUUCCCCAUUACUCCUUCUGUGACUAGAUCCAAAUUUCAAAUGUGGUAUAAGACUCGAAAUGAACAAAACUACAAAAAAAGAUACAAAUCCGAAUCACAAACUUUACAGUCAGUGUUAAAAAAUUAGAUUAAGACAAAAGCACAAGAAAAUAAUGAAAUUAAAAUGAAUUAGAGCAUUGACUUACAGAAGGAAUUCUGCAAAUUCACAUUUGAAUCAAGUCGAUUUCAUCAGGCAUAUCAAAUCCUGUAGAUGUUUCAGUUGUGAUUGCCUUACUUGCUUUCAAUUUUGCUUGCCUUAUCAUCCAAUUUCCCAAUUUCGGCAGCAAAUUUUAGAGUAAAAGUUUUGGGUUCGGUCUUGUUGGGAUCUGCAUAUACUGGACUCACCCCACAACAUAUCACCUUAGCAGGGAAGAAAUCAACCAAGACAGUUGUGUUGUGAUUACCACCACCCACAGGAAACCCACCUAUCCCGAAGGGAAUAAAUCCAAGUAUGACAUGAUCUGAAUCAAUGGCGUCGCGAAUACUAGCUAAAGAGCAAUUGAAAGACAAUUCUUCAGGUUUAUUCAUUUUAAUGUAGAUUCCACAGUUGAUGUAGAAAGAAUCCCAACUAUUAGAAGGAAGAUGCUUAAAAUCAAUAACAGCACAAAGUGCAAACCCAAUUAAGUUGAUUAAACAAUGCUCUGGCAGUUGAAGAGCUAUUAAAGGUCCAAUAUUUUGAAAUGUGAACCACUUAGGAAUUUCGCUCCCAGGUAACAGUAUGCUGGGACAAUAGAGUUGUUCCUGUAAAAUGAAAAUCAAGAUUUCAGAUGUAUCGAAAAGGGAGAGAGGAGAUAGAGAAAGAAAGAGAGAAAUGAAUACCUUUUCAUAAAAUAGUCUCAAUGAUGCAAUUGCCAUACGCUGAAUUCUUAGCUCUGAAUCUGCCAAAAUCUUGUCUUCAUUUAGUUCCCAGCAAUUCUGAAAUUCAAACUGCAUUAAAGAGCAAUCAUGCUUCAUAGGAAAUGUAGUUUUGGAUAACUUUUCGAGUAUGGAUAUAUCUAGUUCUUCUAGACAUGGUGAAAUCUCUGGCAAAGAUUCGAGCCGCUUGCAAUUACUUGCAUCUAAAUGACUUAGAAACAGUGGAAGUUCUGGUAAUGACUGAAGCAUAUUGCAAUUUCUCAAGUAAAGAUAUCUCAGCUGUGAAAAUUGCUUGAUGGUUGCAGGUAACCUCUCCAAGUUACUUCCACUUAGAUUUAUUCUCUCAAGAUUUGGGAUUUCUGAAAAUUCUGGCAACCUGGUGAGAUAUUGUGAAUUACAGAGGUUGAUAAAUUUUAACUUGAAAGCCUUCUGUAACAAAAGAGAAACAGUCACUAGAACGAAUUAGUAUAAUUUCGGGAUUCCACAAUUAGCUAUAUAACUUUAAAGAAAGAAAAAUGUAUAGUAAUGUAUUUGUAUAUUGUACCUUUUCUCCUAUCCAGAUCUGUUCAACUUUACUGUAAGGCAAGUUGAGCUCAAUUAGGCACUUGGGUUUGAAAGAAAAUGGCAGUGUUUUCAAAGGAUAUUCAUGCCAAUGGAGAUAUCUCAAUUUCUUGGAAAGAUAUUCAAGAUCUUGGUCAAGACGUAAUUUGGAGCUCAUAACUGGAACACCAUAACACUCUGGCAUAUAGAACUUAAGCAAUGUGAGAUUUGACAUAUUUGCAAAGGCGUGAGAAUGCAGAUGAAGGUAGUUUAUUUUGGACAAAUCAAAGAAUAUGCCCUCAAUUGCAUCAGUCCCCUUCAAAAAAAAAAAUUAAAAAAAGAAUGAGCAAGCAUAAAAUCUACAAGAAAAAAAAAACUUUUGAUAAAUAGAUUAAGUGUUUCCGAUAUAAUUGAAGUAUUUUUUUUUAAUUAAUACAACAUCCAUGUAUUAAAAAAAAAAUGUGUGCGGUUAUUCUAGUGAUCAUCCUCUGCUCUUCUCCGUUACAGUUUUUUUCAUUUUACUUUUCUCUAAAAGUUAAAAGUUGAGAAGAUAACAGUUAAACAAAUUUCAUCAUUGAUUAAUCUAACAUUUGGCGAUUGUAUAUAGAAGCCAAAAUGUUUAUUUGCUAAAAAAACUACCCAAGGUUUUAAAUGAAAUGAUAUUAUAGUGAAUGGGUGUUAAAAAAAGAUAAAAAGUUUUGUCCCUAUAGUGACAUCCACUAACCAGUAAAGAUAUUUUUAGUAAUUAAAAAAAAAUUAAUGUUGCAUGUAGCCUCACAUACAAAAUGUCAAAUAAAUAGAUUCUUACCUUAUUUUUCUUUAGCACUUGAUAGACAUCAUUGUGAUCCCAUAAUUUGCUACGUUUGCUUGGUUCUUUGAAAGAUUCUUGACGAAUAAUUGUCUUACCUAUUUCUUGCAACAUAUCAUGCAUUUGCAGCCGGUUGUCAGAAAUUGUAAUGAGUGACUUCUCAACAAGAAUGUUCAGUCCAUUUCGCAUUGAUGUAGGAUCAUCUUGUACCCUUGUCACAAAGUCUACAUCUUCUCCUUUGAAGAAACAUGCGACAUCAAGAAAUAUUUCCUUCGCUUCCCAAUUUAGUCCAUCAUAACUGAUUUUCAACGCCUUAUAAGUAUUAGGAUCAGUAAUCAAUUUCAACUUAUGCAAUUUAUCUUUCCACUGUUCUAUGCUCUUUUGAUAAAGAGAAGAACCCAAAACUUGAAGAGCUAAUGGAUUGCCAUUGGCAUAAUGCGCUACCUCCUCUGAGAGCUCCAGGAGAUCAGGAGAGCGAUUGUUUUGUCUAAAGGCUUUUCUACAAAAGAGCUCAAGUGCAGAAUUGUGUUUCAAUCCCUUAACCUCAUAUACGUUUUCUACUCCACGUUUAUCGAGUAGCCGUUUAUCUCUAGUAGUUAUAAUAAAUCUACUUCCAGGGCUAAAUAGAUCUAACCCCCCGGCAAAACUUUCUAAUACUGGGAUGAAGUUAUCAUCAACAUCAUCAAGAACGAUCAGCACUUUCCUCUGUUGGAGCCUUUUCUUGAUAUUUGGGGUUAUAGUGGGAGUUCCUAUUUUGAUAUUUUCUCCCAUUACUUGAGAAAUAACCUCAUCUCGAACCUGUAUUACUCCCAUUUUGUUUGAUUCUUCUCCGACGUUUUUCAUGAAGCACUUGCCUUGAAAGUGUCCAGAAAUUCGGUGGAAAAUAACACUGGCAAUGGUUGUUUUACCGAUUCCGCCCAUGCCCCAAAUUCCGACAAUUCGAACAUCAUCCAAUUUGAGACAUAGAAGUGAUUUAAUUUCCUCGAUUCGCGAAUUUAAUCCAACGAAGCCACUUAAAUCAGUUGAAUCUGACAUAUCUUCCACUUUCUUGGAAAUAUCUUGAGCAAUCUUUUCCACAUGUCCCGCCUCAUUCCUAGCAAGUGUUGUUCAAGAUAUAAAUACAAUGAUGAUGGGUCAAAACAGACCAAGCUAGGCUAUAAAGCAUCAAUGUUCUUUUCAUUUUCGAACUAAGCCCGUAAAUGAUUAUUGAUCCAAAAAAAAAAAAGCAAUUUUUUUUUUUUUAAUUUGACUGUGUUCAGUUAACAGUUACCUGGAAUCCAUGACAACAAAUCCAGAAAUAAUUGAUGCCUUGGUCAGUGCCUCUCUCCAUUUCUGAACCUUUUUUGGGAAGUUCCUUUCAUGGCGGACAAAAGCUUUUCUAAAUCUGCUCUUCUGUUUGCGCAAGUCAGAUGGAUCUACUCGUUAGAAAACUGGUACCACAAUUUUGUCAUUAUUCUUUUCCAAGUAAUCAAGAAUCUUGACAAGCUCAUCGAGGCACCGUGUUGAAUAAGCAUAGUUUUUUGAGAAGAUAAUUACGGAAACAGCUGAUGUUUCGAUCGCAUUCGAAACGGCGGGCGAAAUCUCAUCUCCCUUCUGAAGUUCUUCUUCAUCAUCAAUGAACAAUUCUAUUUGUUUACGACGUAAAGCUGCAGCUAGAUGGCUCGUAAUGCCCGUACCAGUAUCCUUGCCUCGGAAACUGAGGAAGACAUCAUACUUGCAUUUAGCAGUAAAGCUAGAAGAUAAACAAGAAGACGAAGCCAUGGACCAAGGGAAUUUUUCAGAUUUUAGAAAACGAAAGAGAGAUUCUUUUCUUGAGUACAAGAUGUAAUAAUCAAAAUAGUUUUGAAGUAAAUAAAUAUACUAAUAUCAAUUAGAUACUUUUUUUUUUUGGGGGGGUGGUUAGAGGAGAUGAUUAUUGAGUCCAAUUUUCAUAGACGACAUAAACUUGGAACAAUUAUUAAUUAUAUAGUUGGAUUAUUGACAUGACGUUGUUGAUAUAGUCCUCUGGCUUAUCACAAAUGACACGAAAAUAACACAGAGGAUUAAUUACUAUCAAGAUUUAUCCUUUUAAUAUCUCAUUUUGUACUUGAUACUACAAAUUCAAAUAAUAACACCUAAUUGAAAGAUAAAUCUGUUUCGGUAAAGAAAUUUUCAAAUCUUACUUAAUGUUUUAAUUAUAAAAAAAUCAACUUAAACGAUACAUAAUUAAAAGAGGAUCUGACAAGAUGAGCGUCGUCAUCGCUCUCCACGCAACUCCCACGCGAGCCCCGUAGCUCUUUGUAGGCAGAGCGGCGGUACUCGUUUAACCAAAUUUUCAUAUUUAAAUACUCAAACCUUAUUAUUGAAGUUGCAAGAUUUUUUCAUUUUAGUACAAUCAAAAACAUCUUUUUUAAUGUACACAACUAAGUUAUCACUUAAAGUGUGUUUAAAUUUUUUUAAUAAUAGCAAAAAUAUUCAUAUAAUGCAACACGAAGAGCAAAUAUGAAUACAUGAUGAAUUUGAAAUUUUGAAACUACAAAAAAAAAUUUUAAAAAUUAUAAAUUAGAAUUAGCAGACUUAUAAUUUAGGGAUUAAUAUUGAAAAACUAUAUAAUUGAAGGAAAGUGCUUUUGAUUUAUGGGAACUGUGAUGAAAUCCAUGCACUGAUGCACACGCACUACUCUAAUCGGCUAUUGCACUACCACCAUGCAGUACCACAUAAAUUAAGUGCCAGUUUGGUAAUGCUAUAUCUUUUAAAAUAAUUAAUGUUAGUUGUACUGUAGAAAUAAUAAAUUAUGAACUGAAUUAGUAAAAUUUAUUUUUAAAAGUGUUGUAAAUAUUAAAUUGUUGUAAGAAUAUAAAUGACUAAAUUAGACAUAAUCUUGAAUAAAAUUUAUUUACACAUUUACAAACAUGUAUAUAAAAUAUUUAUAAUCGUGUGUAAUACUAUAUAUAAUAAUUGAUAAUUAAAAUAAAUAUUUUAUAUUAUUAAUUUUAUUUUUUAUUUUGUUAUCUCAAUAUAAUUAUUAAUAAUAAUAACCUCUUUAAAGUUAAUAAUUUUAUUUCCUGAUUAAUAACGAUAAUAUUAGAUUUUUUAAAUAUAUACGAGGAUAUAUAUAGAAUUAUAUUAAGUAUAAAAGUGAUUUUAAAAAUCAGAUUUUGCAAAGCUACUUUUUUCCUACUUUACAAAUUUUGUUGUAAGAUAGGCGAUUUUGCUAAAAGUGAUUUCUAAAAGAAUUUCUCAUAUACCAAAAUUAUAUUUUAACUUUUUAAAAUUACUUUUUAAUCUCCUAAAAGUAACCCCAAACAUGCCCUAUGUGCUUUUCUUCAAAGUAUUAGAAAGAGAUAAAAACAAAAAACAAAAAGAAAAGAAAUAAGUGAAUCUCUUUUGUUUUUAAUUGGGUCUUUAUUUUUAUUUUAAUAUCUAUUUUUUUUUUUGUUUUUAUUUAAGUUUCAUAGUAUUUUAAUAAUUAAUCAAACUAUUUAAAAUUAAACAUUUAAACUUAGGGCAACAUGCAAUCUUUUAAAGCUAACAAGGGACUUUCAUAAUUUUAUAUUUCAACUAGCGCACUUUCUUAAAUAAUAAAUAAAAUACAUUUCUUUUUAACAACCAUCAAAAAAAUUUCAAAAGCUAGUUGGGGAAAAGUCAUCUGGGCCCGUCCCCCAGCCAGUCCUAUGCUGAUAUAUUCAUAAUAUUAAUAUUAGGAACCUAAUUUCACAAAGCAUUUGUUUAGUUGAGUAAUUUUUCGUCCUAUUCUUGAGGUUAAGGGGUUUCAUUUUUUUUCGUAGUGAAAAUUGACUUUCUUCUAAGUGUUUGGAAAUAAAACCAAUCGAUUCUAAGAUAUAAAACUAAAAUGUUCUGGGUAAUUAAAAAGAAAAAAUCACAUUCAAUAUUUUCACAAAAAGCUGAGACACUUGGCAGGCACUUUCUAAUAAGCAUAGGGUGAGGAAGAGUCUGACAGUUCAUAAAUUUUCAGCCAAGAGUCUAUACUUGUUUAAUUCACUUUAUAUACACUUUCUAUUAUUCUUUACAUUUUCAGCCAUGACAGUUCAUAAAUCACUUUCUAUUAUUCUUUUUACAGUGGUUUAAUUCAUUAAAGUAUCGUUACAUAUACACACACACACACACACACACACAGAACAAUCAACUUACUUCAUUAGAGAAAUCUAAAUCAUCACCUUUCUUUCUUUUUAUGAUUUUCAAAAUUAAUUAAAAAAGUGAAGCAUAUAGAACAGGUAUAUAUACUUAUAUAUAGGUGGUAGGUCGGUCCCUGGUGCUGCCCAACCCAUCAUCACUUGUUUUAUAUGCAUACUGAGAGAGAAAGAGAGAGAGAGAGAGAAAUUCGUCAAAGCUAUAUCAUUCGAUCCACGAGUAGUUGAAUAAUUUCUUGACGAUCAGUUCAAAGUAAAUGAUAUUACUUUUAAGCUGUGUCCGGAGUGCCACUGAUUUGAUCUCUCUUUAACGAAAUGUUAAUGCUGUUGUUCAAACACGACUUAUUAGUCUUAAUGUAGAGUCUCUUUAUUUUGUGAUAAAAAUCAGACUUUUCCACCCGCUGAUUUCUUUUACAUCUUCUGAUCUUGAUCAUUUUAAUCCAAUAACCUUUUUCUCAUGAGAUGACUGUCAAUGUAGAAAAAGGAAACAGAGCAUAACUGGUUUAUCAAUAGUUAUAUAAAGGGGUUAGAAUAUGAAAAGAGUGCCCAUUGGAUUCUGCUGUAGGGAUUUAUUAAGUGCCCGCAAUAAAAUAUUCAGUCAUACAAAUCAUGGCAGAGGAAAAAAAAUGACCUGAAUCCAUAAUUGCUGGGUCUAAAAAUUUGAAGAUACACACACAACUUUUGAAAUAAAUAUGAAAACCAAUGAAGAGAAAAGAAAAGAUACUAUAAACUUGACCAAUUCAUCUAAAAUCAUGAUUAUUCGUGAUUAUAUACAAACGGCAAUUCAUUGGAUCAAUAAUAGGGAUACAAGAUCACCAGGUAAAGCAAAACUAACAGUCACAUGAACGUUACAAUGAACCCAAACAAAACAAAAGGAGGCGAUACAACUAAAGACAAGCGACACUAAGGAACACCGAACCACAGGGGAACUUGCUUGAGUGUGACAGAUAAAAACAGAAAGAAACAAACACGUUCAAUUUUGAGAUAAUUGAUGAUCACCCUCAACUUCUGGUUCUUUUGAAAAAGAUGAGAAUUAUGUAAGACAAAGAAGAAUUUAGCAAUUUGUUACUCCUCCUGAUGGCUAUUUAUAACCAGCCAAUCGAGAAUUUAGCAUAAAAGAUGUAGCCAUUCACCAAAAAAGUCCAAAAUUUCAUCUGCUUUAGCUGUUGGACCUCAAGAGAUCUAGCUAGAAUCAAAUUGUCUGACUAGCUUUUCAUAAUGAAUUGGCAAGCUUAAAAUCCUAAAAGCUUUAUUAAAAUUCUCUACCUCUUAUUUUUGUUGUAAUCAACGUGUGGUUAUCUUCAAUUUCGAUGAGCUACUUGCAGUUAAUGGUCAAGAUUUGCACUCCACUGUUUGGCAUAUUUGUAGUUAAAAUAAUAAUAAUAAUAAUUAGAAGAACAACAUGUAAUGUCAGAACUUGAUCAUCAUAUAACAAAUUAAACCAUUAAAAAUGCAAACAAUCAUAGGAGUUUCUAGGCCUUAAAAAAUCCACAGCCGCAGUUCUCAAUUCUCAAUACACUCCCAGCAAAUAUAACCGUCUGACCAAUUCUAAAAUGCAAAGUGAUAACAUCUAAAAUUGUUUCUGAAUUUCAGUAUUCAAGUAACAACAAAGACGGUGCGGUCAAAGAUAUUCCAAAUACUAGCCUAUGGUACUAAAGUGAGGUGCAUACCGUAUGAAAUCAUUACUUUGAGAAAAAGUUUUACUGAUGCAAGUGUGCCUUACCCUUCAUAGAGAAGCACCCCCAUAAGUUCUUCCUUUGUGAUGUCUAGUUUAUUAAGAAAAAUCAGAAAUGUGAUGCGAAAUACUCCAGAUUUCAACCUAAGUUCAUUCAUGACUAGUGAAUCCAGUAACCGUUUAAACUAGUGUCUUUAUUUUUAUUUAUUAUUAUUUUUAGUACUCCUGCAUUUAAUCACAAUUAUUAAGGAUAAUCAAUUAAGGCAGAUAAUCAAACACUUUCUUUUCUAAUUUAUAUUUUAUUAUUUUGUAUUGAAGAGAAAUAGAAGUAAUUUAAUUAUUAUUUAUUUUUUAAAAAAUAAUUAUUUGAUUAAAAUAAUAUUAAUAAGAAAUUUUUUAAAAAAUAUAUUUUUUCACUCUUCUAUUUGACACAUAAGUAAAUAAAUAAAUAUUUAAAAAAUAAAAUUAAUAAUACUUUUUAAUGCUGCUCUAAGUAUAUGUAUUAUUAGGGGGUUGUUUGUUAUCAGGUCUCCACAUUUAUUAAUUCAAUUAUUUUGUAAAUCACUUCUUGAAGAAGAGGGCAUUCUUGUAUUGUUUAUGUACAUUUGAGGGUUUAAUUUUAAAGUAAGAGAAUAAUAGCAGCAUAGCACUACUAGUUGGGAGGUUAUUGAGGAGUAGGGAUGACAAUUUUUCUCGAUGGGAUGUGAUCUCGCAGGAUCCCAUCCUAUUUGGGACGGGAUUGAGACAUAUUUUUGUUCUAUAAAAAAAUUUAGAGAUGGGAGUGGAAUAUUUUUUUAUCUCAAUUACAUAUGCGGGACGGGAGUGGGAUUGACAAAUUCUGUCUCAUCUUGUCUCAUUAUCGAUUAAGAAUGGAAAUUUUUUCAAUUGGGAUGAGAUCCCGCAGGUUCCCAUCUUUUUUUGGACGGGAUUGUGACAUAUUUUUGUCCAAAAAAAAAUAUAUGGACGAGACUGGGAUCUUUUUUCAUCUCAUUUGUAUAUACAAGAAAAUCUCAGUCUCAUCUCGUCCCAUUGCCAACCUUAUUGAGGAGGUUUAUAAAAAGAAAAGGGGUUUGAUGAGGAUGAUAGAGGGGCGCCCAUAGCACCACUCUAUAAACGUUUGUAAUGUGUUUCAAACGCAAAUUUCUUGGGUGCGCUCAAAUCCACGUAUUGAAAGUUGAACUCCAUUAUGGUUUCGUUUUAAGGAUGUAAUUAUGUAGCAUAAAUAAAUUGAUUGAUAUAGUUUUAAAUAUUUCUGAUAUCAAUCUCUAAAUGUUUAUGUAUAUCUUUUUUUAAUAAUAAAAACAUUUUUAAUGUAUUAUAUAUUACUUAGCUAUCUCAGAGAAUUUCUCAUUUGGGUGUGGACUUUUAAUGGUCAUAAAAAUGUCAAUAAUGAAAAUGAAAAGCAAUAAUCUUAAAACUAGUAGAACCGAGUACUCGGCAAGAAGGAGUUAGCCAAUGAUAUGUUUACAUUUAAUUUCCACCAAUAUUUCAAAAUUACUGAAUAAGGCCACUUAAUAAAAAGUUGAGAAAAUAAAUAUUUAUUGAUUUAUUUCAUACAUUGCAUUGCAUGUGUUAGGAGCAGUAAAAUGUGAAAUUUUGUGAAAGAAAUAUCUCAUCAACUUUUUGCUUCACAGUUUUUAACUUUAACAUGUGACUAAAAUAAAAUUUAUAAACAAAAAUAUAAAUUAUUUGUGUUCAUGUUUAAUCGUAUCUACAUAAAGAAUAACUUUCGAACGACUAGUCCGUUGUUGUUAUUAUUAUUAUUAUUGUUAUUAAAAAAAGAACAUUAUACUAAAAUUAGAAAAACACGCAAUGUAGUGGUUAGCCACUAGGUUUUAACUUAGUGGUUAGAACUCAAACUUUACAAUUGUGAGGUUAAGGGUUUGAGAUCCCACAAUAUAUUGUGGGGGUUUAAUAAUAGAGAGGGUAAAAUUUUAAUUUUACUUUAAUUCUCAAUAAUAGUUUGAUUAGAAGUCUCAUUAAAUAUUAGAGAGGGUAAAAAUUUAAACGGUGCUGCUUAAGAGCCUAAGUAAUAGUUAAUUUUUAAAAUGUGAGUAAAGUAAACGUUCUCUUAAAUAUUAAAGAGGGUAAAAAUCUAAGCGGUACUUCAUAAGAGUCUCAGUAAUAGUUUGAUUUAUAAAUAAUUUUAUAUAAUUUAAAUUAUGCUCUUAAACAAUAAUCUCAUUUAAUUUUUUUUAAAAAAAAAAAAAACACGCACGCUGAUGCAAUGUGUUUUUUCAGAAGCAUUGGAUUAUUUCACCUUUUUAUCUGAAUUGUGAAAAGGGCAAAAACAUCUGUUCACUUGAAAUUCCCCGUGACAGGCACGUGUCCUGGAUGAGGCCGAAAAUACAAUUGCUUUUUAUCUUGCUUUCCUCCUUGAGUCGGCAUUGGCCAGUUUUUGUGAACUUUGUCUUGUAAUUUCAUUUCUGGAUUUGCUUAGUGCGAAAGCCACUGGGUUCGAAGAAAACAAGGUGUUCGGUCAAUUGUCUAAAAGAAGUUUAUAACGCUGCCCAUUACCACCUGCCCACGUUCACAAUGAGUGGGAACAACAUAAACUCGGUGUUCUACGCCGAGUUGUAUCAUCCGAUUCAAGCUGGCAGCAUUGACGGCACCGAUAUUCACCCCCACGAUAACGCCAUUUGUCGUGCUCUGCUCUGCUCCUCCGCUGGACUCUGUAUGUGCUUCUAUUUUCUUUAUUCCUUUCCACC
Molecule: long non-coding RNA, 54406 nt
Filed under: Citrus maxima (pomelo)
Lineage: Eukaryota; Viridiplantae; Streptophyta; Magnoliopsida; Sapindales; Rutaceae
Description: long non-coding RNA (CMAX_LNC002490)
Source: RNAcentral